This 54584-nucleotide long non-coding RNA is filed under the name Eucalyptus grandis. Its description in RNAcentral is "long non-coding RNA (EGRA_LNC004486)". The record is from RNAcentral. Lineage: Eukaryota; Viridiplantae; Streptophyta; Magnoliopsida; Myrtales; Myrtaceae.
UGCGAAGAUGACAAACCUUUUGCAUCGAAGUAUGAAUACUCAAGAGAGAAGGCGGAAGCUCUGGGUGUCGACUUCACUCCUUUAGAGAUCAGUCUAAGAGACACCAUUGAAUCUUUACGGGAGAAGGGGUUCAUCUCGGUCUAGGCACCUGCUUAAAAACAGCACGUCUGAUAAUUCGAGGUUCCUUGCUUUCUGUCCUCCGUCACAUCCCUCAUACUCAUAUGUGCAGAAUAACCUAUGCGCAUCCACUUUACGAAACAAGUUUUACCGGUUGAAGUUUCUUCACGUGAUUUGUAGUCCGAUAUGACUUACAACUAGAAUUGUAGAAUAUCUGCAGAAAUCUCUAAAGACCUGCAUCUUCUUGGGGUAAUAUUGCGAAUGAACAAGUUGAGCUAGCAUUUUAUUGGACGCCCUCAUCUCCGGUGUACUCCAUUAGAAGCUACGUGGAAGAAAAAGAUGACUACGUACAUACCAUUUAAAACCAGAUCAGAUACUCAGAAACCAAGGAUUUACAAAGGAAGAAUUUCUUUUCCACGAGAAAGACAUAUGGGAAGACGAGAGAAAAUUGAAGAGAGGAAUCCAUUGGCCAAGGACAAAGGGAGAUUCCGCACCACUCGCUCCACGUUUGCCUCGUCCUUGUUGUGAAUCUUGCCGAGAAACGCCCAUGGCAACGCUGAAAGUAGUAUUCCUUUUGCUUGCCUUCCUUUUGAAAACUUUGUGUUGUUUCCUUAUUUAGUACAUAACCUUUUAUGUGUUUCAUUAGUGUGAUUAUAUAAAACUUGUCGCGCAGAAUUCUAAUAUUUCCUUGCCAAAUAACAAACAACUUUCCAUGCAGGAUGAUUUUAUGAUAUGAUUAGCAAACUUUAUAUCUUAGUGUAAAGUAGUGUAACCGACAGCUUGUGGGUCAACGGUGAUUUACCAAAAUGUUGACAGUUUACCAACGAUAAAUACAGUAAUACUUUAUCAACCUUCUCCUUUUUUUUCACUAAGUUAUCACUCUAAACAAAAAAUUCAAAUGCGAAAUUAGUGACUUCCCAGUGAAAUUGCAAGGUAGUAAGUUCCUAGCAGAGUGAAGAAUUUAUUGACUUCAAAUGAAAUGCAAGCUAUCCUUAUUUCGCUGCUAAGUCACUAACUAUUGGGCCACAAACGUAAAAUAGCAAGUUAUCAUCUUAGAAAUUUUCUGCUUAGUAGAUGGAUCCGCUCGUAAAAUUUGAAAGUAUUUGAUAAUUCAUUAGUUGAUAUGAGGUCAUGACAUCAUUAUUUUAUCAGUGAGUUAUUAACUAUUUGAUGUGUUCACUUUAAAUUUUAAAGCACCGUUGAUCUAUUACUAUAUAUUAUGUUUGAGAACGGUAAAAUCUUAAUUAUGGUGGUAAGUUUCUAAUUAAUUAAUUGGGCCACUUGUAAAAUUUUGAAGUACUUGAUAACCUACUCCUCGAUAGGAGAUAAAAUCAUUAUUUCGCCGGUAAGUCACUAAGGGCCACAAAUGUGAACUUCUGGUACGCGAUUUGAAAAUGAUCAAAUCAUUGUUUCAAUGACGAGUUACUAGUUCACUGACGAAAUCAUCUUGUAGAUUUUUUCUUUAAAAAAUAGUAAUCUACUACCGAUGUGAGUGUGGUAAAAUCAUCAGGGAAAAUACCAAAUAUGUGGAUGCCUACCAUGAACGUGUUUGGAAAUAUUUAGCCAAUUUAAUUACUCUGUAGCAUGACAUAGUUGAAAUUUAGCCAAUAUGGAUGUGAUGUAACAUGGGAAAAUUGUUUAUCCAUGUCACACAACAGCAUCAUCCGGCGGCCACACUAGUUAGAUUUUCCAAAAUUUGGUGUCAUUGGGAAUUGAUUAGAAAAAUUGUGAAAGUAGAAGGAUUUGAUAAGACAUAUUAAAUGUACAUGGACUUGAUCAAAGAAUCGUGCAAGUACAUGAAUGAAAAGUAGAGUUUGACUUUCUUCUAUGGAUAACUACCGCCUCUUAGAAAUAUACCAAUUAUUGAAAAGAUAAAUUUGUUAACGGAACGCCAUCAUCUUCAGUUAUGUUACGACUGGAUGACAAAUUCUAGUAACAAAGUACUCUCCACAUCCAUGGCCACGAUGAAUAAAAUACGAAAUAAAGAUUAGAUAGACUCAUUGUGAUAUGCAUUAAUAUUGAUAAUCCAAGCACAAGCAUAGAGCUCGACUAUUUGAAAAUCUAUUAAAUACCCCAUAAGUCCCAUGAAGAGGUUAAAUUCAAUUUUUAGCUUAUUUUUGUGACUUUGACUAAUAGUAGUUUACACAAAAUUAAUGAAAAAAUUACAUGGGGCUAAAUUGAAACGAAUCUUUCCUGUAGGCAUGGCAUCCGAAGACAUUUCCUUGAGCCGUAGCCGGUUUAGACAAGUAAGUUGCCUUUGAGUCAGGCAUGACACAAGUGAUCGGAUAUUUUGGUCGAUGCCCAACCCUUGUGGUCUAGAAUAGGUGAUCAUUCAAAGUUUCUCCAUCUAUCUUCUCUGAUUGAAGGAUUUAAGUUGGUGAGACGUGAAUGUUGAAAAUUAUUCAAGUUGAACAUUAUCUGAAAGCCAUCAUAGAUGAUUUUUCUUUUCCUUAUAUAUAGAAUGCAAAUGUUAUGUACCAUCCAAAGGACCAGUAGAAGAUUCAGCUCCAAGGAUAGGAGAGAAGAGAGGGAAAAUGAGCACAACAGAGAAGGUGGUUUGUGUAACCGGAGGGGCUGGUUACAUAGCAUCAUGGCUCAUCAACUUGCUGCUUCAUAGGGGCUAUACAGUCAAAGCGACCAUCCGCGACACCAGUAAGUUCAUCGUUUCAUCUUCAUGUUUUGUUCUUAAUAAUUUUUUUUUUUUUUUUGGAUUCUUGGGUGGUGCACUCUAUUCUUAGAAAAUGAUUCACAGUUUCUUAGUCGAAUCAUUCUGAUGCAUGGACUUUGUACUAAAUUCCGUUUUUAUCAGAAAGUGUGCUUUUCUAAUCGUCUCUUCCCAUUUGGAUUCACUCGCAUAUGCGUGUAUGUAUUUGGAAGUGCAUAACUGCAUGUGUACGCAUAUACUGAUUUGUCUAUGUGCUUUUGGAGCUCUGGCAAUAUAACAUGUUCGAGUUCGCUGCCUAAAGAGUUAAUCCCUUGCAAUAUUCAAAUCCAUUAUGUCUUAAUCCUGGUUUUUUUAUAGAUGUGGAUAUGUUGCAACUCAGGUCAAGAUCAAGUACUAGCAUGUUUCAUGAUUCAUAACUUGAUGUCAUUCUAUAUGAAGGAACUUAGAUUGUGAUCAAUCAGAUCUAAUUCUGCAUUCUGGUAUGUGCAUAUAAGCAGAUGAUUCACGGAAGACACAACAUCUUCUGGCACUUGGAGGGGCCAAGGAGAGGCUCCAUUUGUUUAAAGCAGAUUUGCUAGAAGAAGGGUCCUUUGACUCGAUAGUCGAUGGGUGCGGAGCUGUUUUUCAUACAGCAUCACCUGUGGUUUUCUCAGCUUCGGAUCCCCAGGUGUCUGCACUUAUCAGUUCGUUCCGCUUUGUACCGGAGAUUCAUAUGAUAGAUGAUCUCAUAUUACUUGGGUGAUUUGGCAAAAUCGUACUGAUGAUCUCCUUCAUGUUGCAGGCUGAAAUAGUGGAUCCUGCAGUCAGAGGCACCUUAAACGUUCUCAAAUCAUGUGCAAAAGUCCCUUCUAUCAAGCGAGUGGUUUUGACCUCCUCUAUGGCUGCAGUAGUGUUCAAUGGAAAACCUCUGACCUCUGGUGUGGUGGUUGAUGAAACAUGGUUCUCUGAUCCGGUUUUCUGCGAGGAAUCAAAGGUAGUAAGACGCUUUUUCUUGACAUUGUUGGUCUCUUUGCUUGGUCCAUUGUCUGUGAGUUCGUUCAUCGCAUUGUUGUGGCUCUGCUAUUUUCAGCUUUGGUAUCUGCUCUCCAAAACCUUGGCGGAGAAGGCUGCUUGGAAAUUUGCUAAAGAGAAGAGGAUCGACCUGGUCGUGAUGAACCCAGGACAUGUGAUUGGCCCUCUUUUGCAGCCUACAGUCAAUCUCUCGGUGGAAUUGAUAUUGAACUUUGUCAACGGUAUUACUUGAUGGUUUCUAUGUCACGCGUACUAUUUUCCAUGAAAUGAUUCUUUCUUCUACACAUCAUGUCAGCAUUUGGCAUCUCUUUUAAAUUCUGAGAUUGACCAGGGGAGGAUUGAUGCAAUGUCAUAACUGCAUAAUUAGAUGCAAUCCAUUUCCAUGUGCAAGAAGAAACACGGUUGCUCAAGGAAAUUGAUUUUCCAUUAAAAAUGGUGUCAGCAGUGGGACUAAUCGAGACAUGUAUGAUAUAGGAACUGAAGAAUUUCCCAAUGCGUCCUAUGGAUUUGUUGAUGUCCGAGACGUCGCACGAGCACAUAUUCAAGCUCUUGAAAACCCUUCAGCCAGUGGCAGAUAUUGCAUAGUUGGAGGAGUAAUGCACCGUCCUGACAUGUCGAAGAUCUUGCACCAUCUCUAUCCCACAUUGCGCCUCCCAGAAAAGUAAGUUCCCGUUUUUGUUCAACACCAUAGAUUAAAGGGUAACUUUUUUCUCUUAAGAGCAAGUUGAGAAAUGGUCUUAUGUCGAGCAUAUACACUAACGUUAACCGAUGCUGCACGAAUCAUGCGUUUUGACCACAGAUGUGAAGAUGACAAGCUUGCUGUGGCGGCUCAUCAGAUAUCAAGGGAAAAAGUAGAAGGUUUGGGUGUGAAUUUUAUACCUCUGGAGGUUAGCAUAAAAGAAACUGUUGAAAGCCUCAAGGAGAAAGGUUUCCUCUCUUUUUGAGCUUUAUCUUCGGAGGUCGGCCUAAGCAACAUCAUUGGGAGCCUCAAGGGCGAAGGCAGAAUCUCUCUAUUUAAGCUAGCUUUUCUCGAUCGAUGACGCUGACCUCAUAGUCAUACUUAAAAGGUUGCUGAUAAUGUAUUGUAUAUUUCAUCUAGUUAUUGUGGUCGGACCAUGUAUGAUCUUUUGUACUCUUGUUGAAUAGAGCUUUCCAUCUCUAAACUUGAAAGAUGAUGCAAUGCUGAAUGUCUAUCCUAUAGUCAUUGUAUGCGAAUUUGUUUUAAUAUUUAAUAACAAUAUCAGGAUAAUUUAGUGUGAUAAUAUUGAAAAUAUUUUAUUGGAAAAAUCAAGGGAGUUGAAGGGCUCAAUAUAUCCAAGAAAAAGUCCAACAAAAAAAAAACAUAAAUUAAGGGAUCAAAUAUGGUUUAUCCCAAAUCAAGAAUUAGAUAAGUACAACUACUUGAUACUUCCUAUAAAUAUAAAAGAAAAUUUUAAAUUAAUAUCUCAAAGCUUAAAGUAAAGCUACUCACGAGGAGGUGGAAGAGUUCCUCUUGAAAUUGGGCGCCGCCCCAGGACAUUGGAAAGCGAUACGAACCUUUUGGCUCAAAGAAAAGUCGAAACGAAAUGUAAUUUAUUACCCAGUAAUGUCACGUACGUAAUGGCUUACGAGUUGCGAGAAGCCGUCUGUCGUCAACAAAUGGGUUUGGAUUAUUUUCAAAGAUUCGGUCGAACAUCGGGCUCUUUAUAAUAAGGUCCAUCUGCUGCUCCAAGAGAGGAGACCAGCGCGCGCGCGAACUCCACACGGUUCAGGUGCCAAGAACGGAGGAGAUGAGCGGAGCAGAGAAGGUGGUGGGCGUGAUCGGAGGGUCGGGUUACAUAGCUUCUUGGCUGGUCAAGCUCUUGCUCCUCCGUGGCUACACUGUUCGAGCCACUGUCCGAGACCCAUGUAAGAAAAGAGUUCCCUUUCUUUAUACUCUCUCUCUCUCUCUCUCUCUCUGCGCUCUGCUCUGCUCUUUUGACCUUCUUGGGUGUUGUCAAGCUGUUGGAAGAAAAAAAACAGAGCUGUUGAAAUCUGAUAACCCACAUGAAGUUAUGUCCAAACCCUUUGCUAGAGUGAAACCAUCAAAGCUAUUUUUUUCUCUGAGAGAAGAAUUUUGGUAGCUUCAUUAGUUUUGUGUUGUAGAUUGCCCUCUAAUCUAUGUAUCUAUCCAAUAAAGUUCAAAUCUUUUGCAUCCUGUUCGACUUUGUUGAAGAAAUGGCACCCUCAAACCAUCGUCUAGAUUCCGGAUUCUUGAUUUAUUUAUUUUCAGUAUCGGUUUUGCACAUGUUUCUCCGGGAACAAUACGGCUCUUCUUGUCCCGCCUAUGCCCUUUCUGACUGUAGAUGCUACUGAUGUGUCGGUGAGGGUGCUUGCAAGUUUUAGAAUUUCAAUCAGUUGAAUGGAGAUUUUUCUCAUUCUUGUGCAUGUGCAACAGCCGACCCAAAGAAGACAGGACACCUUCUGGCACUGGAGGGGGCAAAGGAGAGGCUGCAUUUAUUCGAAGCAGAAUUGCUGGAAGAAGGGUCCUUUGACUCGGUAGUCGAUGGAUGCGAAUGUGUUUUUCACACUGCAUCGCCUGUUUUGUUCUCAGCUGCUGACCCCCAGGUGCUUGAAUCUUGCCAUGUUAAUCAUCCAACGUUGUCCUUGUUUUCCUAAAUAAGUAGAUAGCUCAUGGACAAACCAUUCCAUUCCAUGUGGAAGGGGAUUUGCUUUUCUUCUGCCACAAUGAGUUCAGUUUCGGUUUUCUGAUACUUUUUAUGAGAAUUUUACCGAAUGAUUUCUUCCAUUGCAUGACUCAGGCUGAAUUAAUUGAUCCUGCCCUAAAAGGCACCCUUAAUGUUCUAAGAUCAUUCGCCAAAGCCUCUUCUAUCAAGAGAGUAGUUGUGACGUCCUCUAUGGCUGCAGUUGCAUUCAGUGCAAAACCUGUGACUUCAGGUGUUGUCAUUGAUGAGACUUGGCAUUCAGAUCCAGAAUUUUGCGAGAAAUCCAAGGUUUGUAUAUCAAAAUUUCCUGACAAUAUGGCUGUUCAUUUCUUUCACUUGUGAAAUUUUACUGUUGAAUUACAUUCAGAGUUCCUGUUACUCGGUGAAACUGGUAAAAUGCUGAUUCUGAGAGGAGUUGGGACAUCAGGGAACAUCUCUCUUAAAUCACAUAGCUUUCACUACACUUUUUACGGAUACCCGAACCAAGGAGUGCCUGUCUUAUCACUUACAGUUGUUUGUGUUACUCUUGCAAUUUAGCCUGGCACCAUGUUAGAUGCUACAUAUGCUUAUUGAAUACAGCAGUUUCUACAUACUUCCUGGAGGAGAACUACUUAUCUUUCGUUUCUUUGAACCGGUAAUCUCCGAAUGCCUUGGAUGACAUCGAAUGAAGUCCAUGUCAUGGCAAUGGUUAUUAUAUGUGUUGAAUGAGGCGAAACAUUCUAACAGUCUCUUUGGCUUAUCUAUCUUCAGCUCUGGUAUAUGCUUUCAAAAACCUUAGCAGAGAAGGCAGCUUGGGAAUUCGCCAAAGAAAAUGGAAUUGACCUUGUCACGAUAAACCCAGGAUAUGUGAUCGGUCCCAUCUUGCAGCCCACUGUUAAUUUCUCCGUGGAGAUAAUACUGAACCUCCUUAAUGGUAUCACUAUCAUCUAGCCAUAAAUUAUGUUUGUUAUUAAAUCUUCGCCAUUUUAUUUCAGAGCGGCUUCGUCAAACAUUUGUGCAUACUUGUUCUCAUUACCCAAAAGACAAUCUCAAGGAGUAACUAUAGAACUAUGUUUCUGAUUGAAGACAAUCUCAGUGAAGUCGUAUGCCCUUAACCAUACUUAUGAGUUAUGGACGCAUGUGCCUCAGAAUGUCUUUCUGCAUUGGUCCAUGGAAUAGCUAUCCUUCUUUGCUAGUUAACUGAAUUUGGCAACAUGAGGUCCCGAGGCCCUUUCAUUCUAUCUACUGAAUCUGCCUUAUGUAUUUAAGGGUUUGCUUAAUUGGCUGCACAGACACACUAUUACAAUCAUUUAUGGUAGAUUUCCGCAUGCGACAUGUUUUUUAACUACUGGCAGUAGCAGCAUUCGGUACAAAGUUGUCUUGACGUUUGCAUGGGAGUAAUUGAGGCUUAUCCUGCAGGAGCUCAAACAUUUCCAAAUAAAUGCUAUAGAUUUGUUGAUGUCAGAGACGUUGCACUCGCACAUAUCCUAGCUUUUGAAAAUCAUUCAGCUCAUGGAAGAUAUUGCCUAGUAGGCGACGUCGUACACUGUCAUGAUGCCUUGAAGAUUCUCCGCAAUCUCUACCCCACUUUGCACCUCCCAGAGAAGUAAGUUAUCAUUUUUCCUUAAUUCUUAUCUUCUGUCAGAAUACUGUGCGUCCAAGAGAUUACGGUUGUUUUCGUAAUGGUGUAGAUGCGAAGAUGAGAAGCCUUUCUUGUCGAAGUAUGAGAUAUCAAGAAAGAAGGCAGAAUCUCUGGGUGUCAACUUCACUCCAUUCGAGGUGAGUCUGAGAGAUACCGUCGAAUGCCUCAAGGAAAAGGGAUUCAUCUCUAUCUAGGCACUUGCUUAGAACAGCAUGUCACGAGCUUGCUAAUAAUGACUUGUGGACCUGUGGUCUGUCCUCAGCCUUUCAGCUCCUAAAUCAUACAAUUCUUCUGAAUAAUGUAUCAUUACCCACUUUUAGAGAUAACUCUGCCAGUUUUUCCCAGCUAAUCUUACGUUAUUGAUGUUUAGUUUCUGUGUCCAAUUUGCCUGCCGAAACAACUCAUCAUAUAGAACAUCAGAUAUAAUCUUGAAGACUUUGUAAGCAAUGUCGAAAACUUGUGAGAUAAAUUGAGUUAAUGACUCAAGCUAGCGGUUAAUCCAAGAAGGCUCCUUUCUGGCCAACAUACUUGACUGCCAUUAUGUAUAAAGCCAAUAGAAAAAUGAAGGACUCACUAUGAUUGGAUAUGAAUAUCAAAGACUGAUUCUGCCAGUAACUUAUAUGACCAAAAGAUUGGUGACUCAUGAUACUCUCAAUCAACAGAGCAUUGAACAGUGUUUCUGAGCUUAACAAAACCUUGAUAAUAAUAGCUAGUAGACAAUGCGUACUGGCUGUGAUUGCCAUCCCGAUGCAAGAGAGCUUUACACGACCAAAUUGCAUCUGAACUUGCAGCACCUAAUAUGAGCGUGCACUUUCUGUCGUCAGAUGUAAUAUGUGUUAUCAAACAAUCAAUUCUUCACUUCUGAUGAAAGCAUCUGAACUGCCAUCUCAUUUCAUUUGCAUAUGCAAUGGUCUGACAGGCCUUUGUAUAACUCCCAAUGCAUUAUCCCAUCCAUAGCUUCAACACCUUAUCUUUACCACCAGAAGCAACAUUCUCACCAUCUGGAUUCCAAUCGACUGCAAAAACCUUCUCACGAGAACACCUGCUAAAGUAAGCAAGUGGUAGUCCAUGAUAAAAAUACAAACUUAAAAACUUGUCUGAUGACCAUGUUAAGGGAACAAACCUCAUCCGCAUGACCCGGAAGAUCUUGUUUCAACUUCUUCGUGCGAAUAUCCCAGAUCUAAAAGUAAGCCAAAUAUUGAGCAAACAUUUAAGCAUUCAAAUCAGGCAAAAAUUCAUAAUAAUCAUAACCGGUAAAAAGGGCAGACUCCACAUGCUAUUGAUAUUUACAAAUAGUUCAAACAGAAUUAAAACAAGCAAGAGAACAUCACUCAAGCUUCCAUACGUACUCUGCUUUACAAUAUCCUCAUCACCAUAUCUCACAAAAUAAGCAGACCUAACAUGGUCCAAUGGUUCAAAAAAUAACUUAAAUAGGCCAUUGAGAUCUCAAUGAAAACAAGUUGCACUAGAACUCAGCAACAACCAGGGGGAAAAAUCCUUAUUGCUUGCACCAUAAAUAAACUAAUUUCCUGUAACACAUUGAUAUUUUUUUCACAGAUAAUAUUACAAGCUCUCCUGUUACAAUUCUAAGUGACCACACUUGAUCUCUCUUAAAGCUGGCCCAUGACACAUGUAAGUACUUUAUGGAAAUCAUUCGAACGCUAUAUGCUUUGUGCAACUGACCUUCAGGGUAGUCUUUGCUCCCACUUAAAAGAAGUCUACUAUCUGCAGACCAACUGUGCAUUAUGUAAAUCAUGAUUAGAAAUCAUUCUUGAAUGGAUAAGACGAGCAAAUUUUGAAAAUAUCUCAAACCUUAUCUGAUAUACAGGCCGGACAUGUCCACUGAAUGCAGCAACAAACUUCCCAAUAAUACCAUUCCACAACUUCACAGAUCUAUCAAACGAAGCACUAGCCACCCAUUGCCCAUCCGGUGAAAAGUAGACAUGAUCCACAAGCUGCAAACAAAAAGCAUAAUUUCCCGCAUUUACACCUAACAAGGAUCUAAAGUAUUAGCCUCAAGAAAAUAUUAGGAGGAUGUCUCAUCCAUUGAACCAGUGCCACCAGGACCACAAUGUGGAGUACGUCCUUAUUUAGCAUCAUUAUGGCAAUUGAUAGUAUAUACUGGAGCACAAACAGUCUUCUAAAUACAGUAAAUACUUAGGGAAUCAAUCACACAGCAAAAGCAGGCAGCUGUCAAAUCAAUCUCCCUCCCUCCUCCCUCACACACGCACGCACACACAAACCUGUUGGUGAUCGGUCAUUCGUGUUUUUGGAUGCUUACCAACAGAAGGUUCCCACAAAAACAUAGUAAAAUCAUCAGAUCCAGAGACCAAUUUUUCGGGAACAUUGCCUUUCAUUUUCUUGUAACUUUCUAAUGCAACCUAUGUUCAUCAACAAAAUACAGAAGUUCAUAUGACAGUUACCAGAAAGUAGAACUACAAAUGUGCACAGACCCAAAGGCAGAGAAUCACCACAAGGGGGCAGAACAUGCACAGAGCCAGAAGACGUGCUGACUAAUGCAUACUAGGUUGUAAGAAAAUAAUGUCCAGAGAGAAAUAACCAAUGCAUACUAAGUUGCAUGAGCAAAUCAAUAUGCAGAGAGAAAUAAAUGUUUGAUUUAUUGCCUCAUGAUAUAAAGAUGAUUCCACAUAAUAACAGUUACCUACUUGCUUCAUUUCUUCAGAAGAUGAAUACUGUUUUCCAGUGUGAUCAAAAGCUACAGUUCGAAGAACAUACUCAGUGCUCAGAGCAGGGAGUUAACCCAGUGUCCAAAAUCCUACAACAAAAAUUUUAACAGAAAUAACGAUGAUUGUGAAAAAAAGAAGAGAGGGAUCUAGCAGCAACUUAGAUUAAGAAUGCGGACUUGGCAGUAGAAACUAAGAAAAGACAUAAACACGCAAGCCAUGAAAACAAAACUCUAACCUUAAUAUGCAAUUCACAUCUCAGAGACAUCGAAAAAUGGUGGUAUUUCAUUCUUAACGUCAAUAUCUCCCGAGAACUAUACAAUGAAAACAUUCAAGGACAUGAUGUCGCCAAUAGCUGGGCUAAAUAAUAUGCCCAAUUAGUAGGGGGUAGGUCACUAGGUGCCAAACUGCCUCCUGGCACCAAAGAGAUUGAGUGAAUGCAGCUACUGCAAAGGCGCAAAUAAAUAUAAAGCUAUUGUGGUGAAGAAGAAGACAGGCAUGCAAUGACCCUGCAAUCUGUAUUACAAACUUUAAAAAAGAUGUUACCUUCAAUUCCCUUAUCAGCUUCCCCUGGGAGUUUCUCAGACAUUAAUUGUACAGUCCUGGGAGCUGCAAGAAAUUUAAAAUAAUUACUUCACCAGGUAACAAGUAGUAGAAGCAGCAGCAGUUUGGCAAAGUCCAAGGAUACUCAGUAGCUUGAAAGCAGAAUUUACAAGUCCUCGCCUAAUCUGAGGCCCAUCAGAAGUAUGAUUUAGUAAAAAAAACUUCAUGUUAUUCUUUUGUUGUUCAUGUAGCACGGCACUAGCAUAUGGACAUUAAUACAUCACAAAGUGAUUAAAUAUUUAUCUCAGUGUGGAAUUGCCUCUCUUGUUCCAACUUGUCAGUGGGACAGUUAUUAAGGGUUGGCGGAUCAAGUCCUUCCAUUGAGAAUUUAGUUUGCAGCCUCAGUGAUAUUCAUUUCCGCACAACAUGAAAACUAUCGCUGACAACGUGUACUAGGAUUUGGUAAUUCAUGAUUUUAAGAUUCGAAACAUUUAACCAACACGGGCAUUAAAAGUAGCAGGAGGGCUUACAUUUAGGAAGCACAAAACCGAACCAGCCAAUGAACUUCCAAUAGCCAAAAGCGCCAAGAAGCGGAAGUCAAAGAUCACCUGCUCAGCAAUGGAGGACUACUCUUUGAACAUAGAUGCACUAAUAAAGGCAAUCAAUACGAAAGAACACACCGGUCAUGAAAGCAGAAAUAAAGAGCAACAAGGAAUUAAAAUCAAGCGCAGCUCAUUACAAGUCCAUUGCAAUAGCUUUUGCAGUUGAAAAUACAACCUUCGAUCCAUCAGGACCCUCCAGCAAUUGAGCAUAUACACCCAGUAUGUAAAACAGGCUCUCAAACAUCCAAACCCACCAAACCCAAAUCACCGAACCUCUUUCUAAUUCUCCGUAGCUGAGCAAUAAACAAACUUCCAACAACUCAGGAGCAACAAUUGUUCAAAGGAGGAGGAAACGAUCGAGCGAACGGACAAGCUAAAGAACUGAGUCGGUUCGGCUCACUUUUUAGAUGUUCGAUUCGGCGGCCUGAACGAAACCGACGAGGGGACUGCUGUUGGGACACAGACGCACGAUCAGACACAGAGACGGAGAGAGAGAUAUUUUUCAUUCAUUGUGGCGGGUAACCGUUAAUUUAUCAACGGUGGAGAUCGCAUCAGGAUGCGCACUGGGGCUUUUACUGGCAAAAGUACCAAGUGCAACUGGAGUCUGCAGACAUUUAUACGUGCCUAUCAAAAUUAGUUGCAGCCGGCUUCUCAUCCGAUCGUCAAUGUGAAUUGCACGGAAAUGUAGAGAGAUAUCGAUACUUUUCUGAAUCUAUAUAACUAAAAUUAGUCGGUAUCUAAUGGGACGAAUGUCUGUAAGUCGGUCAUAUUGAGAUUAGUAAUAUUGAACGAAAGUCAUUGACUUCAAAACUUUGGUAAAUCAUAAUCGAACAAAAAUCACUAACAUCAUCAAAAUAUUUGAUAAUCUUGCAAGUAUAAAUUUUUUUUAGUAAAUGACUGAAAUUAAUUAGAAUCUUAACGUGACAUAUGCUGGUGCACCGAUUAGAUUAAAGUCAAUAAUUUCUUAUAUAGGUCAAUGACUUCGGUAACGUUGAUAAGCCAUAUAUAUAUAAAUGUUCGGAGAUUGAUAAUUUAUCCUCCAUAAAUAAAUCUUAGAUACUUGUAAAAACUUCUUCUUAAUUACUAACAUGUGAUUGGGUAAGCAAAAAUGAACUUUUUGUUGAUAUUUGACGUACACACCUAAUAUUUGACAUACACAUCUCUAUUGCUUUGGAUACAGUUCUAUAGACAAAUAAAGAAAAUAUAGUAAUACAGCACAUGGUAGUUCAUUAUUUCUUGGCAUGACCCUGAAAGUGGAUGCUUGACCUGAUCGAGGGUUCGAGUUUUCCAGAAUAAGGAUUGAAACCCAUUUACCUCCGGUCUCAUCGCCUAUUUCUUAGAAGCUUCGCCCUCCUGUUUCCAAUCGGCAACCACCUUCUGGCAAUUCUAUCUAUAAAAUCGAAGUAUGAGUUUGCCCAAGAACCUUUGAUGUGCAAGACCACAAUUGGAACUAAUAUACCGGCAGCAUAUCCAAGGCCGACGCUCAAGUAAAACCACUGAUCAAUGAACUCAUCAUCACCGCGACUGUCCUCGAUUGUCUCUCGUUUGUCAGGUUCAUCGGCUGGACACGUGACAUUGAGGGGAGCACCGCAGAGUCCCGAGUUUCCAUAGUAUGAAGAAGGGAAUGUCAUCAUUUGUUGUGUGUAAGGAAUCUUUCUCGAGAAGUUAUUAUCAGAUAAAUUUAGAUAACUCAAAAAUGACAGCGAUGGCAUGCUUUGAGGGAUUACACCAAAAAGCCUGUUGCUUGAAAGAUCAAGGGAUAACAGUUGGCUCAUGCUCGAAAUGCUCUCAGGAAUUUCACCACCAAUGUCGUUUCUUGAUAAGUUCAGAAUGAGCAAUCCAACCAGUUUAGUCAUUUCUUUUGGAAAUUCUCCACCUAAAUUAUUUCCGGAGAUAUCUACGCUAGUGACAAGGGAAAGAGUCUUGGUGUACAGUUGGCUUUGGCUUUGCAUGGUCACUCGGCAGUUCUCUUGAUAGUAUGUGCCUCCGUAGUUCCUGUAAAAUAGGUACUCGAUUCUAGCUUGCCCUUCUACCAUUGCUUUAAGAUCUCCAAAGCUUGAAGGAAUGUUACCUGUCAAAUUGUUUUCUGCAAGAUCCAGCACUUGCAAUGAGCUUAAACUUGAGAGCUCAUGAGGAAUUUCUCCAGAAAAUGCAUUGGACCUCAAACUUAAAAUUCUUAAAUUGAUGAAACCCUCCGCCAUCCAUGCAGGUAUGGUGCCAUUCAAUUGGUUGUUGCCAAUAUCUAGCGUUUCUAAGCUGGACAGAUUCUUGAAUGAAGAUGGAAGGUCUCCUGAGAGCUUAUUGUUGCUGAGGUACAGAGACUGAAGCCCUUGUAAUUGGCCCAAAGGCGCGGCUAUCAAUCCAGAUAAAGAAUUGUUUUGUAGGUUGAGUACCUCUAGGCUUGAGCAGUUCCCUAUGCUUGGAGGAAUGCUUCCACUCAAAUUGUUGUUUGCUAAGUUGAUGACCUGAAGCCAUUGCAUUUCUCCUAUAGAUUCUGGGAGCCCACCUGUUAUUCUGUUAGAUGAAAGGGAGAGGAAGCCCAAUUCCGGCAUGUAUUUGCUUAAAUUUUGUGGAAUGCCACCUAAAAAUUGGUUGUUAGAGAGGUCUAACAAUCUAAUCUCAGAAAUGGGAAGAGGGAACGGUCCCUGAAAAAAGGUUAGAGCUGAGAUCAACAAGCGCAAGAGGAGCUGCUGGCAACGGAUUAGGUAAUUGGCCCUGCAACAGAUUUAGAGACAUGUUGAGGAGAGAGAGAUUCGAAGAAAUGUCCCAAAACCAACUUGGCACAGGCCCCGAAAUGCUGGCAUUUGAAAAAUCAAGAUAGUUGAUCUCAUUUUCAUGUCUAAGCCAGGCGGGGAAAGAUGGACCGAUCUGGCACGAUCCCAUGCCAAGACUGUGGACUUGGAACGGAGGCAUCCAGUCGGCACUGACAUUUAAAGUGAAAGAGUUGGAUGAGAGAUCUAAGGUCUUCAUUUUGCGUAGAUUUGCAAAAUGUUCUUCAGAUAGUGUACCUGACAAAUGAUUGAAAGACACGUCGAGAACAUCCAACUCAGAAAGUUGUCCCAGAUCAACGGGAAGAGUCCCAUUCAAUUGGUUCCUACCAAGGUCCAGAACGGUGAGGUUCUUCAGAGUCCCAAGAGAAGAAGGACUCGGCCCUUCAAGCAAGUUAUAGUCAAGGGUUAGUUCCUCAAGGUUUUUAAAUUGGCCCAUCCAACUUGGCAGAUAACCCCUCAGCCGAUUGUCGUUCAAUCUCAAGUACCUCAAAUUAGGCAAAGAACUCUGGGAAUAACAAGUUUCAGAUCCCCUCUGCAAAAUUUCCGGCAAACUACUUUUCAAGUUGUUGUUGGAUAAAUCAAAAUUAACUAAACUGCAAAGUGAACCGAUGGAGCUCGGUAUUCCUCCCCUGACCAGAUUCCAAGAAAGGUCAAAAUUACUGAGUGGUUAUUUUCCCAAUGGAAGUGGGAAGUAUUCCGUGUAUUUUAUUAUCAGCCAAAUCCAUAACUUCUAUCCUUUUCCAUGAUCCUUGGAACAACUGAGUACAACUUGCUGAGAAAUUAUCGUUUCCAGAUAAAAUUAGGAUUUGCAAGUGCGGUAGCUCGCCUAGACCAAGAGGGAUCCUUCCAUAUAGACCACUGAAACUCAUGUCAACACUAACAAGGCUGCUUACAUUCAAAAGCCAUUGAGGGAACUCUGAAUCGAAACUGUUGAAGCUGAGGUCUAGAGCAGCGAGUGAAGUGAAGUUCACCAAACCAGGUGAUGAUAUCAAACAAGAUAGGCGACAAUCGGACAGAUGCAACCCCGACAACGACAGAAACCCGUUUAGCACACUGAUCCACGUGGAACUAACCAUUGAGAGGUUCACUCCAUCAAGCGCAAGAUAUUUCAGAGAACCAAGACCAGAAAUCCACCCGAGAUUAUUAGUACUUAACCACUGAAAGGGAGUAGGAAGAUCAAGAUACUGCAAGUUUGACAAAUUUUCUAGAUUUGGAGGAAUUGCACCACGAAACUUGGCAAUUGGCAGGUUCAGGUACCGUAGGUUCUCCAAAGAACCAACAAAUGCAGGAACUGGUACGCCAUCAAAAUUAUUUGAGCUCAAGUCCAAGAAUCUCAGAGACUUGAGUCGCGCUAAUGAAGGUCUAAUUUCUCCACACGGUUUCCAAUAAGUAUACAUACUAGAGUAGCCACGAAGAUCAAUGCUUAUCACCCCUCCAGUCCUCUCAUCGCAGCCUAUUCCACCAGCAACAAUUGCUUCCUUGCCAUGAGGACAGGCGAUUAUAAGGAUCUUGAAGGCCAUUUUUGAAGUCAAUUAGAGCUUCCCUAUCAGACCCUGAGCAAUUCCCAGCAGGGAUAUUGCCGUCACAAGCCGAUAGCCAUGCUAAAAUGGAGAUAGAGACUAGUAUAAUGCAAAGGGAUGAAUCUCUCGCCAUCUUGAUCAAAAUAUGUAAAACUGAAGGUAGCAUUACAAGGACUAGUAACCCGGGACUAGUUUGUUUCAAAUAUUGCUUGAAAAGUCAAGUGGGAUCAGCAGGAUAAUCACGAGAUGUCCAAAGAAAGUUAAAGAGAUGUUGACUGAUUGAGUCUUUGUGAGUAAAAUAUUUAGGCGUGGAGUAUAAAAGGAUUCAAUGACUUGAAAAACUAAGGGUUAAUUCCUUGAAAAACCCCAAACUAGUACACCUAUAAUAAAUUUACUUCAAAUUAAUUUGUUGAUCACAAAAAGUCCUAAACGGGUACACUUAUGACAAAUUUACCUUAAAUGACCACAAAAAAUCCCAAACUAGUAUUUACUCUAAACUAAUUUGUUCAACUGCCAAAAAUCUCAAGCUAAUACAUUUGCGAUAAAUAUACCUUCCCUUAGAUUGAAUCAAUAUUGUAAAAACCAAAAAAAUAAUACAAUUGUAAUAAACAAAAAGUAAAUCCCAAAUUGGUACACUAGUUAACUAACACAUAUCAUCUAACUUAACAAAGAGUAAAUUUAUCAUAAGUAUACCAAUUUGAGGUAAAAUUGCCAAAGUGCACCAAUUUAGGGUUUUAGGUGGACUGACUCAGUCUUUGCAAGUCAAAUAUUUAGGCGUGGAGUAUAAAAAGGUUCAAUGACUUGAAAAAUUAACGGCAUCUAAUGUAUUUAAUUCAUUGUUUUGGGCAUUCAUGAAUUCAUUCACAUGAACUGGUCAUCUCAUUUUCGUAUCAACAUUAGAUCUUAUUUAUGAUAUUAUGCCAUCUCAUGCGUUGAUCUCGUUUCUCAACUAUUGUAUCAAGUCAGCUUUUGGAAUUGCCCUUCUUUUUUACCAACAGCAAAAAGAAUUUCUUGAUGGGCACACUUCCCGCAAGAAAAAAAAAUUCAUCUUGAAUCCAGUUAUCUUCAUUGAUGCCAAACAUGAGUGCAGGACUUGGAGAACUGAAUAGUCGUGGAAAAGAAAAGAAAGGGAUUUAGAGAAUGGUGGGAGUCUGAAAUUGAUUUGCAAUUUUCUCGCCCAUGUAUCUAUAAAUUAUUGAAACAAUUACAACUUUUUGAAAUAAAUCAUAUAAACAUUGACAAUGAAACAAUUAAAACUUUUGAAAUAAACCAUAUAAACAUUGACAAUUGAACUCAAAUAAGUGUUAGUAAUUUUGUGUAAGGUUUUAGUAGCUUGGGACCUUUAUUAAUUGGUAAGUUGCAAAAAUAAGCGUUGAUAAAUCAUUGGAACUGUUGGUAGCUGCGUAACAAUUGAAUAAUCAUUAGUAACCAUGUCAGCUAAAAGUUAAUGAUUUCACAUAAGAAUUAGGUGAUUUUUCAUUGGAGUCGGUAACUUUAACAUGCUGAUAUCCACAAAUAAAUGUUGAUGAAGUCUUAAGAUAGGUGGUGAUUUCAAAUAUCAUUAGAUGAACAUCAAUAGUUCAAUAAAAUAAGCAUUAGUAAAGCCAAAAGCAUAUGGUAACCUCAUCCACGAAAAUGCGUUAAAUCAUUCGCAAUAAUAUCGGUAAUUUGCUAUCAUGUAAUCUUAAUUCAAUGGUAACUCUAAUAAAUAAUAAUUGGUAAAUUCUUAGAACAAUUAAAAAGUUAAUAAACGAGAGUUGGAAAAUAUUUUAACAAAAUUAGUAACUUUAAUACGUUGGUCAGGCAUGUAAAUAACAUGAGUAAUCUACACAAAUAGUUUGUAAUUUAAAACAGUCAAAUUACUGACGGUCCUUUCCCAAAAUUGUUACUAACUUACUAAAAGCCAAAUUACUAUUGUACUUUCAUAUAACAGUGGGUAAUUUAUUAACAUGAUACAGGUUAAAUAAGAUGCCAGUCAGUUUAGUUGCUAAUAGGUUUGACAUUUAACAAAACUUAAAAUGAAUUAGUGGCACCGAAUAAUGUUCUGUAUAUUCAUACACGGAGCGCUGAUAAUCUGAUUGUUGGGUCUUAAUUAUGUAACCCUUCUUGAGCUUGUGGUUUGAGGGUCUUCACAGAUGAGGGCAGAUGUGGAACUGCUUGAAAAUGCGCAUAUAGUUCCAGCGACUAAUGUCCAGAACCAGACACUAUAAAAUAUCAUGGACAGCUUUCUUCAGCAAAAGAUGCUCCAAGUCUGGCCGAGACCAGUUAUCUAGAAUCGACAGAAGCAAUAAGUUAAUUAGCUUUUGUGGUGCAUCUACAUAACAAUCCAACUACCAAGAAAGUCUACCAUUCCGUGAAGCUUCCCCAGAGAGGUCAGAGAAUAGUGCCAUAGCUCAGGCAGGGGGAGAGAGAGAGAGAGAGAUGAACGUGGUGUGUGUCACCAGAGCAUCAGGCUAUAUGGCGUCAUAGUAAGUGAAACUCCUGCUCCAAAGUGGCUACACCAUCAAAGCAACCGUUCGUGACCCGAGUCAGUUCAAGACCCUUGAUUACAUUCAUGCAUGACAUCGUUUAUGGCUUCACCAGUCCAUAUCAUUACAAGAAGUUGUUCUAAUUUACAUGUAACGGGUGAUACAAAGAAGACUGUGCAUCUGCUUGCUCUAGAUGGAGCCAAGGAGAGACUUCAUCUUUGUAAGGCAGACCUACUGGAAGUAGGAUCUUUUGAGUCCAUUGUCGAUGGAUGUGAUGGUGUCUUCCACACUGCAUCACCUGUGCUUCUCACCCCCAAAGACCCCAAGGUUCUUUUGCUCUUUCAAAGGCUUGUGUCAUGGUCUCUCAAAUGUUCUUUUUUCCCUUGUUUCUUUGGAAACACGAGGUAGAAAUUAGCGCUUAAAAAUAGUGUUGCCAAACCAGUGGUUUUUUAAAUUGUAUAUCGUUUUGGCCAUAGCAAUUAAAUGCAGAAGUUGUAAUAGUCUACAUAUACGCAAAGUAGGAGCCAAUUUCAAACUAUUAGCAAGAAUUCAAUGGCAAAAUAGAAAGCUUCAACUCAAGGUUUCUGCGAGGGCAACAAAUCUAACUCUUCAGCACAAUGCAUUCAUCCAUAUUGCGGUUUCUCCAUCUCUAUAUAUGUCCUCGACUUCAAUAAGUUCAGUAGUUCAUACUUGUCUUUCCGUGUCUCAGAUGGAGCUGAUAGAUCCUGCAGGGAGGGGAAUAAUUAAUGUUCUUUCUUCUUGUGCCGAAGUCCCUACAAUCAAGAGAGUGGUGAUAACAUCUUCUAUGGCUUCAGUUGCAUUCAAUGGAAAGACUUUGACUCCUGAUGUGACAUUAGUUGAGACUUGGUUUUCUGAUCCAGUAAUCUGUCAGAUAUCAGAGGUAAUUAUACGUGACAUUCUAAAUUCACCUAAGUCGUCAGAACAUGCCAUUUUUCACCUUUCUUGCAUCAUCAAUUAAAUCUUAGAAAAUGUCAGAAAUGCAGAACGUUUUCCAUUUUUGUUUUUCCUUGGAUGAACUACAUAAAAAAAAAAUUCUACUCAGAUUUGGAUCUGUCGCAAGUUCUUCCUAGUAACUUUAGACCAUCACAGAGGAGCUAGCAUGCAUCAACUACUCAAAUUGAUUUCAUUGUGCACUUCUUGCUUUUCUGUUUCAGCUUUGGUACCCAGUUCGAAAACCUUAGCUGAAGAGCCAGCAUGGAGAUUUGGAAGAGAGAAGGGGAUCGAUUUGUUCACGAUGCAUCCUGGGUUUGUCAUAGGUCCCCUGCUACAAUCUUCGUUUAAUCUCAGCACAGAAAUGUUUCUCAAUCUCAUAAAUGGUAGUCACAAGUAACUGAUAAAUUUAUUAUAUUGUUUAUUCUGAUGAGAUUAGGAUUGUUAUAAGUAAUUCCGUAAAUAGUACUUUUACACGAUUUGUGCUCAGUAAUUUGUCCUCAACUUAACAAGCAAAUGUCAAGAGGAUAUAUAUGUUGAUUCAUUUUAUAAUGGACAAAAGAUACGCAGGAUGGAACUUAUUAAACUGAUACAGACGGUGAUACAUGUGAUGGAAUUUAAUUCAAUGAAAUACACAAAUUUAUUGGAACCAUAUUUAUAACAAGAGGAGACUUACAAGUGAAGUUGUUCCCAUCUGAUGCUGAGAUAUUUGCUGCAGGAACUCACCCUCUUCCUGGCGCAAACUAUAGAUCUGUUGACGUAAGAGACGCUGCACGUGCACACAUUCAUGCCUUUGAGUCCCCUUCCGCUAAAGGCAGGUAUUGUCUUGUUCACAAAGUCGUGCAUUCUGACGAUGCUUUCAAGAUUUUUCAAAAGCCUUCUGUGCCAACCUAUAAAAUAUCAAAUGACAAAGCCAGAAGUCUGGGCAUCCGCUUCACUCCUCUGGAGGUGAGUUUUAAGGACACUGUGGAGAGCUUGAAAGAGAAGGGUUUCUUCAAGGACUGAUGCUGCAACAGGCAACUAAAAGAAUAAAAACCAUGCCAAAGUCGAUUAGAUGGGCAUUUUCUGCUGUAAUACACUUAUGACAGAGUUUUCUUCAGGAGAUCCGAAGUUUUCUAAUUGCUCACAGAAUAUGUACAAUGCCACCUGAAGCUUACUGAAGCAGCCAUUUUCAUUGUCAGACAAAUGUUUGGCUGUUAUCUGUAUUGAGUAACUUGAAAUCCAGGAGUUCACGUUUGCAUGGUAGUGAAACUCCAGCCUCCUGUGUCAAAGGGAAAAAAAAGACAAAAUGGCAAUAAAGCCGAUGAGUUUAACAGCCAAAAUUCUACGUGUAGUAAAGGUGCAAGUGAUGCAGUCAAUUGCAUUAAACAGGAAAUGUACUGGCCUGCUUUCCCAGGGCAAAAUGCCAAUCCAAUUGAGCAACUGGCACCACAGCAUUCACCUUACCCCCUCAUUCAAGAACACAGCGGAGCAGGGAGAUCUUCUCAUGUCUCCAUAGGCUCAUAGCCCCUCAAUUGACAACAUUACAGCGAUGCGAAAUGAAAUGGCUAAGAGUGCGGUGGCGGUAAACAAGGCAAGUUUCACGCACAUAUCUGUAAGUCAAAGAAAAACAGAAGCAUGUUUCCCUGGAUCAAAGGAAGAGAUGCUUAACUUCUUAAAUUUCCAUCACCUCUCUCGGUGAGGAAAUUGCUACGGUAUAAGUGCUCGACUUCCACAAGCUAUCCCAUUUCACCGGUUGUCUUUCCCAAAUCCAAUAGCAGAUUAUAUUUAGAUUUUCAAGUCGGCAAUCAUCGAUAAAAUUAUAGUUCCACCAUCCACAAACCCGUUAAAAGAUUACCGUGUAACUUAAAAUUUUAGAAGAGGAGUUUAACUAUCUGCAAAUUACCAAUGAAAAAAAAUAUUAUCACCCAAAAACUCCAUAGUAGAUUUACCGCUUGGAAAAAGCAAUCUGUGCGGUGUCGUUGGAGUCGCAUCGGAAGCAAUAUACUUAGUCCGCCUAUACGAGACAACCAGGGAAAGAGAAAGAAGAACACACGUGUAGUACCAGGAUGACGUGGCAUAUAUAUAUAUAUAUAUAUAUAUAUAUAUAUAUCUAUGAAGCCCAACCACAACUUGACACGUGUUCAUGACCUGGACAAACAUAGAAAAAGUAAAAAUCUAGCUGGAAUUUUUCGGUCUCUUCUCCCGUCUCCUCCAUCCGCAGUCGCCGGUGUACUCGCUGGUGCUGCUUCCAGGCCGACCACUGCGGUGCAUCCAUGGCCGAGCCACCCCUCCUUCGUUGGCGGCGGCUUACAAUCGUUGCCGUCCACGGGCGAGCCAUCCACUUCGUUGCAGCUCGUCCAUUCGGUCAACGGUGGACCUGUUAAUUUGAAGGCUCACUUCUGUGGAUCUGGGGAGUCGCCCGAUCUGUUAUUUUAGAGUUUGGGAGCCCCCAGAUCUGGCGGUGGACGAAGAAGAAGAUGAUCUUGCGGUGGCUUGGCCAUGGACCAUGGCUACUGAUCUGGCGACGGACGGGUAUGGCCGCGAGCAAUGAUGAAGGGGUGGCUCGGCUCAUGGACCUCCGCACAAAUGAGCCUGACUGCAACCACCGUCGAUGGAGGAGGAAGAAGAGAGAAAAGGGGAGGCCCACGUCAUGGACAUGUGUCGAUGCGCGAUUGGAUUUUAGCACACAUUGCUUGGCACCACAUCAGCCCAUGACGCCAUGACGUGGUGUUAUGCGACCAUUCAACACUUGCUCGAGACUUUCCUUGAGUAAUGCAUGACAGACGAUCUAUAUGUCUAAUUAGAAAACUGAUCACUCACGAUCAAGAAGAGUAGGUGGUCAUUUGUCCCAUUCAAUUUUUUCUAGGAACAUAUUUAAAACAAAGAGUGAACGUAAGUCCCUCGCACAAGCCGGUCAAAUAAAUGAUCAUGACAAAGUGUCGAGGUUGAAUAUAUCCCGAAUUCAUAAAAGAGAAUUCCCACUUAUAAAUGUAUUGCAAUCAGUAUCCCUCUCAUCCCCUGUUCCAAGGAGAAGAGAGGAGCGGAGAUGAGUACAGCAGAGAAGGUGGUGUGUGUAACUGGAGCGGCCGGUUACAUAGCCUCCUGGCUUGUCAAAGUGUUGCUUCAGCGUGGCUACACGGUCAAAGCAACUGUACGCAAUCCCAGUAAGUUUUUUAUCUUUGCUCAUGCUCCGUUGUUCACAAUAUUGGAUUUCUGAAUCUUUGGUUUGUCCAAUUUAGCAGUUGAACGGUUUACUCUUACUUAGUUGGAAACUUGAAAUGUUCUAGAUAAUAUGGAAGUGGUACCAAAAUCUGUUACUCAGUUAUGAUGAGAAAACUAUUCUCUUGUAAUAUCUCUUACCUUUGCAAUUAACUCAUACAUGCAUGUGUGUACUUGUUUGUAAGGGUUUGUGUGCAUGCCUAUACAUAUACGUUAUGCUCAGGGUACGUAUGAUACAAUAGCAUCCGAGUCCACUAGCUGAAGGUAUGAAGCUCUUGUAAUAUCUGAUUCCAUUGGCUUAACUAUUCAAGUUUGCACACAAUCUUAUGCUACCUCUAUAGUUAGAUCCAAUGCAUAGCGUACAUUAGAAAUUUAUAUUUGUGGUCUUCUUAUCUAUUGAUAACAUUUCGUGUUAAGUGACCAAAAGCUCCCAGAGUUUCAUUCCAUCAAAUCAAAUUCUCCUUUUUUGAAUGCAUAAGCAGGUGAUCCAAAGAAGACACAGCACCUUCUGGAACUUGGAGGGGCUAAGGAGAGACUACAUAUCUUCAAAGGAGAAUUGCAGGAGGAAGGGUCUUUUGACUCAAUAGUUGAUGGGUGCGAGGCUGUCUUUCAUACAGCAUCACCGGUUUUUUUCUCAGCUUCCAACCCUGAGGUAUCUGCAUAUUGCAGUUGUACAUCAUGAUUUCAUGGAUUUGUUAAAUGUAAAGCAUCACAUCUUUCAAAUUCUAGUUCUUUUUCCCUUGUCGUCUGGUGCAGUUUAUCAGACGGCAAAUGAUCUAACAUUUCUUGGAUGAUUCGACAAAACCAUUCUAAUCAGAUUCCUUUCCUUACAUGCCGCAGGCUGAAAUAGUCAAUCCUGCAGUUGAAGGUACCCUAAAUGUUCUCAGAUCAUGUGCAAAGGUCCCUUCUAUCAAGAGAGUGGUUUUGACAUCCUCCAUGGCUGCGGUUGUGUGCAAUGGGAAGCCUUUGACCUCUGAUGUGGUAGUUGAUGAGACAUGGUUCUCCGAUCCAGCAUUCUGUAAGGAAUCAAAGGUCUGUAAGUAAGCUGGCUUUUGACAGUAGAAUCUCUUUUGCUUGGUCUGUGAUGCCCCAUCAACUGGAUGAAUUUUUCCAAUAAAAAAUCGUCAAUAGAUUUGAUUUUGGCUAGUAUUCAAGCUUGAUUCGUGUUAAUUUAAUUGAAUACUUGAGGCUGAACAUAGCUUAAUCUUAGUGGCCAAGCAGUCAAGAGGUAUCAUCUUCCUUGCCUUAAUGGUUUUUCCAUCCACCUAUCUGUUUAAGCCCUCAACCUUCAAGCAUGUUCGUUUGUUUGCCCAUAUUUGGCCAAUGUAAGAUACACAAGUUGGGUGCUUUGCCUCACUGAAUACCUCUAUAUGACAAUUAGAUUUUUGUGAUGGACAACUUUUAAAGAAUUUCUUUUCUAGUGCUCCUCAUCCAUUGCUUUGAAAUGUCAAACAAGGCAGAGCAAAUUCAGUGUCAUGUCGAUGAUGAUCACAUCCAUCAGUGGUGCGAGCUCUUUCACUCUUUCAUCGCCUGACUUCGGUUUAAUUAUUUUCAGCUUUGGUAUGUGCUAUCUAAAACCUUAGCAGAGAAGGCAGCUUGGGAUUUUGCAAGAGAGAAUAGGAUGGACCUGGUCGUGAUAAACCCUGGACAUGUGAUUGGCCCUCUCUUGCAGUCUACCAUCAAUCUCUCUAUGGAGAUGAUACUGAACCUCGUCAAUGGUAUUACUUAAAAGUCAAUGCUUGACAUGUCUAUUAUCAUUGUGUCAGCAUUUUGGAUCUCAUUUUUUGUCUGAUAUUGACCAUUGAUAUUUUGCAAAUGACUAAGGACCUGUCGCCAAAUUUCUCCGCAAGAUAGAGAUGCAACUGCACAUGGAAACUUAUUUUCCUGCCAAAGUGCACUCUGCUCCUGUGAUUACAGAGAGAAUGAUUUGAGGCUUAUACAAUGCAGGAGCUCAAACAUUUCCCAACAUCUCUUACAAAUUUGUUGAUGUCAGAGAUGUGGCCCAUGCACAUAUUCUAGCUCUUGAAAAUCCUUCAGCUAGCGGCAGAUAUUGUAUGGCAGGAGAGGCAAUACAUUGUCAAGGCGUUUUGAAGAUCCUGCACGACUUUUAUCCUACACUGCACCUCCCUGAAAAGUAAGCCCCCAUAUUUCUUCAAUUUCUAAAGAGAAGAGUUACAUUUUAUGAGCAUCCCUAGAAGGAAUCCUAUCUACUGAACAUUGACAUUAUUAAAGGUGCAUGAAUCAUUGUUGAUGCAGAUGUGAAAAUGACAAACCAUACGAGUCGGCUCCUCGGGUGUCAAUCAAGGGAGCAGAUUGAAGGUCUGGGUGUGAAGUUCAUUCCUUCGGAGGUCAGUCUAAGAGACACUGUGGAAAGCCUCAAGGAGAAAGGCUUCCUCUCUGUUUGAGUUUCCUGACAAGUGACAAGGAAAACCCUAUACUCCAAAGGCAUAUAUAUGGUUUCCACGAACUUAUAGUCAUAAAAAGUUUCUGCAUAAAUUUAACGCUUCCCUUUUAUUAGACUCCAUUGAAGCAUGCAUAAUGUCUUAGAGUCACUUGCUCAGUGUAAAUUUAAACUUGAAAGCUGAUUAUGAACGUUGUUUAUUGGAGUAGUUUUCUGCUUUUGCCACUGAUUUCUAUUCCUGGCUUCAUGUGCGACUACUUUUAACAACCUGAGGUUUUGUAUGUAAGUUGAGGUGAAGCAAUGCCCAGUGUUUGUUCUGGGGCAGAAAGGCAACCUCUAACAUGGAUAAUGAGGAAUCCUGAGAACCAUUCAUAGUUAGACAAAAAUCCAAAAGAAUGGCUGGGAAAAUAAAUUAUUGAUUAUUCCCAUAUUCUUUUGGAGAUUCUCAUUAAUCAACUCCUACAACGGAUCAAAUGAUGAAUGACUAAUAAUAGGGCCACUAAUCUCUAUACUAAUUUCUGGCCGCUGCUCCACCAUAAUCGAUCACAGUAAAGCUGCACUUUAGUUUCUGGCGUGGUGCACAAUGAUCAAAUUUAAUUUUAUUGAAGGCCCUGACACCAGGAUUCGGGUAAUUUGCUUUAAUAUCAAAAUUUUAAUAUAAAGGGCAUCCCAGUGCACAAGGCUAUACUGAUUUGCAACUCAUCGUCUCUUUCCAUCUUUCUGAAGUUACCAUACUUACUUUCCCAUUUCUUGAAUUGAAAUGAACAAAACUUUCCAUAUAGAACUUUACGCAACACAUACGUACUGAUCCUCACUCUCACCAAACGCAAACAGAAGACCAGUGCGAACCAGAUCAAAUCUGUUGGCUUUUAAUUGGGUAAAGUUGAUCAUUGCCAUUCAAGAUGAAACAGCUCCUAUGAUUGUGAAUUAAAUAUCAACUUGAUGCAGGACUUAGCUUUCUUUUCUUUUCUUUUCUUUUUCUUUUUUUUUGUGCCCCUGAAAAGCAAUCUUAUAUAGCUCAUCUUUUCCUUUGGUAAAAGAAGAAAACAUCUUCAUGAAAUUGACUUGCAUUGAGCCAUGCAACGCUUGACAUAUGAAUAAGAGUUGGGGAUUCAUCAAAGUUUCCUCAUCUAGCUUUUGUGGAAAAAUAAAAGAAUUUGUCAAUGCCUCAUACAAGAUUGUUAGACUAACAAAUUUGAAACACUUGCAGAACUAAAGAUUUUCUAAACUUAGUAAAGAGAAUCUUUUUUGCCUUUAAUAUGAAUUGCUCUCCGCAUACUCUCUUCCAAGCCCCUGUUCAAGAUUCAAUGCCAAAAAGAGGAGUAGAGGAUGGAUGAGUACCACAACAAAGGUCGGAUGCAUAACUGAAGUGUCCGGUUACAUAGCAUCCUGGCUUGUCAAGUUGUUGCUCCACCUUGACUAUAUGGUGAAAGCAACUGUUUGCAAUCCCAAUAAGUUUAUGCAACUUUAUGUUCAUGCUCUAAUCUUCAGAAUCUUGAACCUUUUGAAUAUUCAGUCUGUUCAUUUUAGUAUUAGUAUGGUUUGCAAUUUCUUAGUUGAAACAUUUUAGACGAUACAAAAUGUGUAACAAAAUCUUCAUAACAUGAAUCUGUUCUUUCCUAAUCAUCUCUUACCUUUUGGAUAAACUCAGACAUGUAAUAUCCAAGUGUUAUUUGUGGGCAGUUGUGUGCACGCGUAUGCAUAUGCCUGCUUGCCUUUGGGGUUUCAGGUUGCCUAUUACAUUAAGUCGUCCAGAUUUAAUUGCCUGAAAAUUAGAUCUCUUGCAGUACGAUCAUAUGUGACCACUUGAGCAAAUCAAAUACAGAGCCAACAUCAUAACUUGAUAAUUGCAGUCUAGUGACUGAGAGUUACAGCAAUUUGGAUCAGCCAAAUUAAAUCUUGUUCUUGCAUGUGCAAUUAAACUUAUGAUUCAAAGAAGACAUGAUUUCUUCUAGCCCUCAAAGGGGCUAAGGAGAGAGUACAUUUAUUUAAAGCAGAAUUGCUGGAAGAAGUGUAAUUCGACUUGAUAGUUGAUGGGUGCGAAGCUGUUUUAUAUACAGCAUCACCGGUGAUUUUCUCAGUGGCUGACCCCCGGGCGUCUGUAUCUUGCUGUUAUCCGUCAUUUCUCUACAUCUUCAGUAUUGUAUCUGCAAAAUUCUAGUUCGUUUCAACUUGUCCUUUGUAUGUGCAGUUAAUCAAAUGGCAAAUGAUAUAAUAUUUCUAAGGUAAUUCAACAUAAAUUUAUCUGAUGGGCUUCUAAUCUUAUUACCGACUGAAAUAGUAGAUACUGCAGCCAGGGGGACCCUAAAUGUUCUCAAAUCAUGUGCAAAAGUCCCUUCAAUCAAGAGAGUGGUUGUGACAUUCUCCAUGGCCUCGCUUGUCUGCAGUAGAAAAUUCCUGACCUCUUUGGUAAUUGAUGAGACAGGGUCUCCGAUCCGGUUUUAUGUGAGGAACCGAAGGCCAGUAAGUAGACUGUUCUUUUCGACAUUGUUGGUCUCUUUUGCUUGGUCUGUCAUACCCUACACGAUCUUCAACACUUUUUUUUUCCUAGUUGGAAAAUUGCCAACAUAUUGAUUUUUACAUGAUUUGGAACACGAGCUGAUGCUAUAAAAUAUCGACGCCAAACAUAUUCACUCGAUGGCUUGAAUUGAAUCACUGUAGUGCCGAGCGGUCGAGAAAUGCUUCUCCCUUGCCUUAAGGGUGUGUUGUUUACCUAUUUGAUUAAAUCCUCAACCUUCUUGCAUAUGAACGUGCUCCCAUGUAUUAUUCUGAUAUAGGCACAUAACUAAAAAGGUUCUCAUUAUUUAAGACCUCUGUACGACCCUAAAAUUUUAGUUACCCAUAUCUCUUUAAGUGGUAGUUCUAGAAUCCCAGAUGAGGCAGCAUCGUCAAGUUGACGUCGGUUAUUUUUGUGAUAAGCGCAUGAGUUCUUUCCUUGCAUUAAUAUGGUCUUUCUAUUUUCAGCUUUGGUAUGUGCUUUCUAAAACCUUAGCAGAGGUGCCGGCUUGAAAUUGCUAAAGAGCACAAAGAUUGACCCGUCAUGAUAAAGUCAGGACACGUGAUUUGUCCUCGAUUAGAACUGGAUAACUUCAUGCCAUACGUGACUGUGACAUUAUAGGCAUAUAUGCACUACUAAGAUUUAUCCUCUACAACAACCUACAAGUGAUUGGCAUUCACAGUUUUGUUUUCUGCUUAUAGGUUUACAUUUUUAAGUCAGUUAUCUUGGUAGUGCUCUCACUUGAGCACUCUUAAUAAUGUGAGUUUCAAUGCUAAACGUUCUCAUUUGGGUAAAGUUACCAAUAAUUCUAUUUACAGUUCUGUUCGUUCCUGCCCGUGCGAGACCCCGGUAAACUUGACUGCCGCUCCUUAUCCUGGCCUCCUUUGAUCAGACCUGAUCUUUACAGGGUCACCAUCUUUAUAGAAGGCACGGCCACCAGGAUAAGGGUACGCUGCUUAUCUCUCACCCAUCGCUCACAGAAGAUCAGUGCGAAUUGCAAAAUUUAGCUGCUAAUUAGAGAAGAAGAAGAAGAAGAUGAGCACGAGAGAGGAGAAGCAGAAAGUGGUGUGUGUGACUGGAGGGGCAGGUUACAUAGCUUCUUGGGUGGUCAAGCUCUUGCUUCAGCGUGGCUACACUGUUAAAGCCACCAUGCGAGACCCAAGUAAGCUUGCCAUCUCUAUUCUCUCGAUAUCUUCUCUAUCAGUGUUUUCGUGCUCCUGCGCCCUUCAAAUUACGGAUAAAACCAUGCGGUGGAAACGGCUAGAAUCGUCCUCGAUGAAAUAAAUGUUAUCGGGACCCAUUAUUUUUUUUCAGUUAUAUUUCUUUUCUUGGUAAUUCUAUUUAAUGUUUUCUACGAGAUACUAGGCCAUGUUUCAUCCAUUGGGACACCAUGUAGAUUUCACUAAGUAUGCGGGGCGCCUUAUUGAAAUUUUAGAGUCUAAAGCUCUUGAUUUCUUCAUUCUCAUUUCGGCACUACGAAAACACAAUCUAGCAGCUAAAAUCUACCAUUAGAUCUCCACGAAUCAACUAAAUGAUGCAAGUAAAGUCAUUAAUUACCUCUUGAGCCAGAGCAAGUUCAUCCAAGAAUGAUGUAACUUAUCUUUUUCUGCCCAUUUGGCCAUAGAUGAAGCGAUUUUAAUAGUAUGUCAAUGAGGGUGACCACUAGAAUUCUGGAUUCCAACCCCUUAAAUGAGUAAUUUUCAUUCUUGUUUGUGUGUUACAGAUGACCCAAAGAAGACAGAACACCUUCUGGCACUUGAAGGGGCUAAGGAGAGACUGCAAUUAUUUAAAGCGGACUUGCUGGAAGAAGGGUCCUUUGACUCAGUAGUCAAUGGGUGCAUAGGCGUUUUUCAUACUGCAUCACCUGUCUUGCUCUCAGUUGCUGACCCCCAGGUACUUGUAUCUUGUCGGUUCAGUCAUCCUUCGUGCCUUAUACUCGUCUCUGUUGCAAUGUUGUCCUUGGCUUUUACAUAACCUGCUUACAUUUCACUCCAUUCCAUUAUCCAUGUAUAGGGGACUUCUCUAAUGAUCUUGCUUGUGCUCCAGCAAUCAGUUUCUAGUGAUCCGACACAAGGAGUUUCAAUUUUUUCUGAUAGUUCCGAUAGGUUCUGUUCUGAAUGAUUUUGUUUUCUCUUGCUUAAUUUAGGCUGAAUUAAUUGAUCCUGCCCUAAAAGGCACCCUUAAUGUUUUGCGGUCAUGUGCCAAAGUCUCUUCUAUCAAGAGAGUGGUGGUGACAUCUUCUAUUGCUACAGUCUCAUAUAUUGCAAAGCCUCUGAUGUCUGGUGAUCUAGUUGAUGAGACUUGGUUUUCAGAUCCAGACUUUUGUGAGAAAUCUAAGGUUGGUUGUCUGUAAUUUCUUCACAAUACUGGUAAUCUUGGAAUUCCUUUGAUUAUGUUUUGAUUAUGUUGAACCCAGUCCAUGUCGUGUCAAAGGUAACUGAGCUGAGGCAAAAGAUACUUAACAUUAUAAGUUUGGUUUUUCCUUGUUCAGCUUUGGUAUGUUCUCUCAAAAAUCUUGGCAGAGAAGGCGGCCUGGGAAUCGGCAAAGGAGAAUGAGAUUGACUUGGUCACGAUUAACCCAGGAAUUGUCAUUGGCCCUUUGCUGCAGCCCACUGUUAAUCUCAGUGUGGAGAUGAUACUGAACUUUGUUAAUGGUAUGGAUGUAUGACUAUUUUGCUAUUCCGCGUGGACUUACUCCUUUUUGGUUCUUGAAAAGUUAGUCUGAUGAUCCUAUGUUCAAAUUCUUAUGACUCUGGCAAAUAGUCUGAUCCAUGAUAGGUACGUCUGGUUUGCAAUUAAAGUAGGAGGGCAGUUGCGCUUUACAUAUUACACAAUACACAUGGUGCAUGUGUCUUCUUACAUAUAAACUAAUGGCAUUCAUUGAUGAGACCUUUUCCCACGCAUUUUGAUUGUAAGUUUCCAAGUCUGGAACAGAGAAAUGAAAAUUCUGAUAAGUAUCCGCUAUAAAUUGUAUGUCGAUGUCGAAAAUAACUUAACGCUUAUCGUGCAGGAGCUCAAACAUUUCCAAAUGAAUGUUAUUGUUUUGCCGAUGUCAGAGAUGUAGCGAAUGCACAUGUUCUAGCUUUUGAAAAUCCCUCAGCUUGCGGAAGAUACUGUGUAGUAGGAGAAGUCAUGCAUUGUCAUGACGCCUUGAAAAUUUUGCAGAAUCUGUACCCAACAUUGCACCUUCCUGAUAAGUAAGUUCUUUUUUCUGUAAUUACUCUUCCUUAUUUCCAACUCGUCUGCUGCUUGACUGUGGGCCAUUCAAAACAGCCUGUGAAGGAUUAGCACGCUUUUUUCCUCUGAGAAAAUACAUGAUGGGCCUUGUUGGUUGGAACGAAGUAGAGGGACUGCACUGAUUACGAUGAAAUUGGAGAUUUAAUAGCAAUAAACUUACUGAGGUCAUUGAAUAUCAGUUCAGGACUGACAAGAAAAAUUUGCAGCUUCAGGACAUUCCAUACAAGGUAAUUAAAUGUAACAUGGACUACAUAGUGAUUCAAAGCAUCGGAAGGAAUCUUCGUGUUCGUUUAUUAGUCUGUUCAAUAGAAAAAUGUGCGACAAGGUCAAACUUGGAGUAUCACCAGUUUAACUAAGUGAACAUUCAACGCCCAUUUAUAUCACAAGACCUUGAUCGUAACAUUCUUGAUCAGUUACUACCAAUUUCAAAAGUGGGUGUAAAUGCCAUCUUGUUUGUUUAGUAACAAAAGCCCGUCUGAGACAGCCACUGGAUUCCAUGUGACUGAUCUUCUCAAGAUGUCUAGGAGAAUCACACUUUGUUUGUCCAAUGAUGCAGAUGCGAAGAUGACAAACCUUUCGCACCGAAGUAUGAAUACUCAAGAGAGAAGGCGGAAGCUCUGGGUGUCGAAUUCACUCCUUUAGAGAUCAGUCUAAGAGACACCAUUGAAUCUUUACGGGAGAAGGGGUUCAUCUCGGUCUAGGCACCUGCUUAAAAACAGCACGACACUAGCUGAUAAUUCGGGGUUCCUUGCUUUACGAAACAAGUUUUACCGGUUGAAGUUUCUUCACGCGAUUUGUAGUCCGAUAUGACUUACAACUAGAAGUGUACAUUAUCUGCAGAAAUCUCUAAAGACCUGCAUCUUCUUGGGGUAAUAUUGCGAAUGAACAAGUUGAGCUAGCAUUUUAUUGGACGCCCUCAUCUCCGGUGUACUCCAUUAGACGCUACGUGGAAGAAAAAGAUGAUACAUACCAUUUAAAACCAGAUCAGAUACUCAGAAACCAAGGAUUUACAAAGGAAAUGAAGUAUUUCUUUUCCACGAGAAAGACAUAUGGGAAGACGAGAGAAAAUUGAAGAGAGGAAUCCAUUGGCCAAGGACAAAGGGAGAUUCCGCACCACUCGCUCCACGUUUGCCUCGUCCUUGUUAUGAAUCUUGCCGAGAAACGCGCAUGGCAACGCUGAAAGUAGUAUUCCUUUUGCUUGCCUUCCUUUUGAAAACAUUGUGUUGUUUCCUUAUUUAGUACAUAACCUUUUAUGUGUUUCAUUAGUGUUAUAAAACUUGUUGCGCAGAAUUCUAAUAUUUCGUUGCCAAAUAAAAAACAACUUUCCAUGCAUGGUGAUCUUAUGAUAUGAUUAGUGAUCUUUAUAUCUUAUUGUAAAGUAGUGUAACCGACUGUUUGUUGGUCAAAUGCACUAACGGUGAUUUACCAAAAUGUUGACAAUUUACCAAUAAUAAAUACAAUAAUACAUUAUCAACCUUCUCUUUUUUUUCACUAGGUUAUCACUCUAAACAAAAAAUUCAAAUGCGAAAUUAGUGACUUCCUACUGAAAUUGCAAGGUAGUAAGUUCCUAGCAGAGUGAAGAAUUUAUUGACUUCAAAUGAAAUGCAAGUUAUCAUUAUUUUGACGAGCUCGCCGGGCCUCGCCAAUAGGUCAAUAACUAUUGGGUCACAAAUGUAAAACUUAGCCCGCUUUUACCAUAGCAAGUUAUCAUCUUAGAAAUUUUCCGCUUAGUAGAUGGAUCCGCUUGUAAAAUUUGAAAGUAUUUGAUAAUUCAUUAGUUGAUACGAGUCAUGACAUCAUUAUUGAAACGAAUAAUAGUUUAUUACAUGGGGCUAAAUUGAAACAAAUCUUUUCUGUAGGCAUGGCAUCCGAAGACAUUUCCUUGAAACGUAGCUGUCUUAGACAAGUUGCCUUUGAGUCAGGCAUGACACAAGUGAUCGGAUAUUUCUAUCGGCGCCCAACCCCUGUGGUCUAGAAUAGGUGAUCGUUCAAAGUUUCUCCAUCUAUCUUCUCUGAUUGAAGGAUUUAAGUUGGCGAGACAUGUGAAGGUUGAAAAUUAUUCAAGUUGAACAUUAUCUGAAAGCAAUCAUAGAUGAUUUUUUUCCUUAUAUAUACCAGUAGAAGAUUCAGCUCCAAGGAUAGGAGAGGAGAGGGAAAAUGAGCACGACAGAGAAGGUGGUUUGUGUAACCGGAGGGGCUGGUUACAUAGCAUCAUGGCUCAUCAACUUGCUGCUUCACAGGGGCUAUACAGUCAAAGCGACCAUCCGCAACACCAGUAAGUUCAUCGUUUCAUCUUCGUGUCUUGUUCUUAAUUUUUUUUUUUUUUUUUUUUGGAUUCUUGGGUGGUGCACUCUAUUCUUAGAGAAUGAUUCACAGUUUCUUAGUCGAAUCAUUCGGAUGCAUGGACUUUGUACCAAAUUCCGUUUUUAUCAGAAAGUGUGCUUUUCUAAUCGUCUCUUCCCAUUUCGAUUCACUCGCAUAUGCGUGUAUUUAUUUGGAAGUGCAUAAGUGCAUGUGUACGCAUAUACUGAUUUGUCUAUGUGCUUUUGGAGCUAUGGCAAUAUAACAUGUUCGAGUUCGCUGCCUAAAGAAUUAAUCCCUUGCAAUAUUCGAAUCCAUUAUGUCUUAAUCCUGGUUUUUUAUAGAUGUGGAUAUGUUGCAACUCAGGUCAAGAUCAAGUACUAGCAUGUUUCAUGAUUCAUAACUUGAUGUCAUUCUAUAUGAAGGAACUUAGAUUGUGAUCUAUCAGAUCUAAUUCUGCAUUCUGGCAUGUGUAUAUAAGCAGAUGAUUCACAGAAGACACAACAUCUUCUGGCACUUGGAGGGGCCAAGGAGAGGCUCCAUUUGUUUAAAGCAGAUUUGCUAGAAGAAGGGUCCUUUGACUCGAUACUCGAUGGGUGCGGAGCUGUUUUUCAUACAGCAUCACCUGUGGUUUUCUCGGCUUCGGAUCCCCAGGUGUCUGCACAUAUCAGUUCCUUCCGCUUUGUACUGUAGAUUCAUACGAUAGAUGAUCUGAUAUUACUUGGGUGAUUUGGCAAAAUCGUACUGAUGACCUCCUUCAUGUUGCAGGCUGAAAUAGUGGAUCCAGCUGUCAGAGGCACCUCAAACGUUCUCAAAUCAUGUGCAAAAGUCCCUUCUAUCAACCGAGUGGUAGUGACCUCCUCCAUGGCUGCAGUAGUGUUCAAUGGAAAACCUCUGACCUCUGGUGUGGUGGUUGAUGAAACAUGGUUCUCUGAUCCGGUUUUCUGCGAGGAAUCAAAGGUAGUAAGAUGCUUUUCUUGAUAUUGUUGGUCUCUUUUGCUUGGUCCGCUGUCUGUGAGUUCGUUCAUCGCAUUGUUGUGUCUGCUAUUUUCAGCUUUGGUAUGUGCUCUCCAAAACCUUGGCGGAGAAGGCUGCUUGGGAAUUUGCUAAAGAGAAGAGGAUCGACCUGGUCGUGAUGAACCCAGGACAUGUGAUUGGAACCUUUUGCAGCCUACAGUCAAUCUCUCGGUGGAAUUGAUAUUGAACUUUGUCAACGGUAUUACUUGAUGGUUUCUAUGUCACACGUACUAUUUUUCAUGAGAUGAUUCAUUCUUUUACACAUCAUGUCAGCAUUUGGCAUCUCUUUUAAAUUCUGAGAUUGACCAUGGGAGGGUUGAUUCAGUGUCAUAAUUGCAUAAUUACAUGCAGUCGAUUUCCAUGUGCAAGAAAAAACACGGUUGCUCAAGGAAAUUGAUUUUUGAUUAAAAAUGGCGUUAGCAGUGGGAAUAAUCGAUACAUGUAUGAUGUAGGAACUGAAGAAUUUCCCAAUGCAUCCUACGGAUUUGUUGAUGUCCAAGACGUCGCACUAGCACAUAUUCAAGCUCUCGAAAACCCUUCAGCCAGCGGCAGAUAUUGCGUAGUUGGAGGAGUAAUGCACUAUCCGGACAUGUCGAAGAUCUUGCACCAUCUCUAUCCCACAUUGCGCCUCCCAGAAAAGUAAGUUCCCGUUUUUGUUCAACUCCAUAGAUUAAAAGGUAACUUUUUUUCUCUUAAGAGCAAGUCGAGAAAUGGUCUUAUGGCGAGCAUAUACACUAACGUUAACCGAUGCUGCACGAAUCAUGCAUUUUGAACACAGAUGUGAAGACAACAAGCCUGCUGUGGCGGCUCAUCGGAUAUCAAGGGAAAAAGUAGAAGGUUUGGGUGUGAAUUUCAUACCUCUGGAGGUUAGCAUAAAAGAUACUGUUGAAAGCCUCAAGUAGAAAACUUUCCUCUCUUUUUGAGCUUUUUCUUCGGAGGUCGGCCUAAGUGACAUCAUUGGAGCCUCAAGGGCGAAGGCGGAAUCUCUCUAUUUGAGCUAGCUUUUCUCGAUCGACAACGCUGACCUCAUAGUCAUACUUAAAAGGUUGUUGAUAACGUAUUGUAUAUUUCAUAUAGUUAUCGUGGUCGGACCAUGUAUGGUCUCUUACUCUUGUUGAAUAGAGCAUUCCAUCUCUAAACUUGAAAGACGAUGCAAUGCUGAAUGUCUAUCCUAUAGUUAUUGUAUGCGAAUUUGCUUUAAUAUUCAAUAACAAUAUUAGGAUAAUCGAGUGUGAUAAUAUUGAAAAUAAUUUAUUGAAAAAAUCAAGAGAAUUGAAGGGCUCAAUAUAUUCAAGAAAAAGUCCAACCAAAAAAAAAACAUAAAUUAAGGGAUCAAAUAUGGUUUAUCCCAAAUCAAGAAUUAGAUAAGUACAACUACUCAGGGUGCGUUUGGCUGGCACCUAUUUCUGUUCCCAGGAACAGAAAUUUCUGUUUUUUUGUUCCUGGGAACAAAAAAGGAACAGAAACGCGUUUGGGUGCGUUUCUGUUCCUUUUUGUUCUUUUGUUCCCAGAAACAAAAAGGGAACAGAAAUAAGAAACAAAAAAUUCUUGUUUCUUAUUUCUGAAACAUAUUUGAGGAACAAAAAAGAAACAAAAUGGUGUUCUCUUGCGACCCUCUCCUCCUGCAAGCGUCUCCACCGUCGUCUUCUCCGGCGCCUCCCACUCUCCGGCGCCGACAGCCGCCUCUGUCUUGAGACCAUCCGGCUUCUCCACCAUCGACCUCUCCGGCACCGACAGCCGCUGCAAGCGUCUCCACCUGUGAGCGAGUGACGUAGCUGGGUCGUGGGUCGCUGGGCGGCGACGGUGGCUGCGGUGCUGGGCUCGGCCGUGGGGUCUCGAGCGGCGGACGUCUACGAGCAGAGCGGCGAGGACUGCCGGUCGAGUCGUGGGCCGGCGCGAGGUCAACGAUCGAGCGGAUCUCGAAGUCGUGGGUCACGGUGCGGUGAGAUCUGAUGCGGCGGUGGCGAACGAAGGCUCGAGACCUGCAGAUGCGUCGAUCGGGCGUGAGGCGGAGGGGCGGUCGCCGAUGCGGUGGCGGCGAGGAGGCGUCGAGCGCGGUCGCCAAUGCGGUGGAGGGAGACGACGGUGUGGCUCUAGGUCACCGUCGGCACGGCGCGGCGAGGCCGACCUCGCGCCUGGCUGGGCGAGCUCGAUCUCGCCCAGAUCCGGCGAGGCCGAGCUCGCCCAGCGGCCGGCGAGCCUCGUCGUGGCUGGGCGAGGCCGCCGGCGACCGGCCAAAAGAAGAAAAAAGGAAAAAGCAAAAAGGAAAAAGGAAAAAGAAAAAAAGGAAAAAUAAAUAAGAAAAAUAAGAAAGAAAAUAGAAAAUAAAAAUAAAAAUAUUAAAAAAUUAAAAGAAAUAAAAAAAUUAUACAAACUUACCCAAUGUGUUUCUGUUCUUUUUAUAUUUCUAAAAUGAAUUUACCAAACGCAUUUUUUUGUUUAAAAAUUGUUCCUUAGAAUAGAAACACUUUUUUUUUAUUUCUGUUCCCAGAAAUAAUUUUUAAACAGAAACGUUACCAAACGCACUUUUAAUAUCUCAAAGCUUAAAGUAAAGCUACUCAAGAGGAGUUGGAAGAGUUCCUCUUGAACUUGGGCGCCGCCCCAGGACAAUGGAAAGCGAUACGAACCUUUCGGCUCAAAGAAAAGUCGAAACGAAAUGUAAUUAUUACCAAGUAAUGUCACGUACGUAAUGGCUUACGAGUUGCGAGAAGGCGUCUAUCGUCAACCAGGAGCGACAAAAAAUGGGUUUGGAUUAUCUUUAAAGAUUCGGCAGAACAUCGGGCUCUUUAUAAUAUAAUAAGGUCCAUCUGCUGCUCCGCCACCCACUCCAGCACUCGUUCACUCUCUCCCCCGAACCACGAGAGAGGAGACCAGCGCGCGCGCGAACUCCACACGGUUCAGGUGCCAAGAACGGAGGAGAUGAGUGGAGCAGAGAAGGUGGUGGGCGUGAUCGGAGGGUCGGGUUACAUAGCUUCUUGGCUGGUCAAGCUCUUGCUCCUCCGUGGCUACACUGUUCGAGCCACUGUCCGAGACCCAUGUAAGAAAAAUGUUCCCUUUCUUUAUACUCUCUCUCUCUCUCUGCUCUGCUGUUGGAAGAAAAAAAACAGAGCUGUUGAAAUCCGAUAACCCACAUGAAGUUGUGUCCAAACCCUUUGUCAGAGUGAAACCAUCAAAGCUAUUUUUUUCUCUGAGAGAUAGAAGAAUUUUGGUAGCUUCAUUAGUUUUGUGUUGUAGAUUGCCCUCUAAUAUAUGUAUCUAUCCAAUAAAGUUCAAAUCUUUUGCAUCCUGUUCGACUUUGUUGAAGAAGUGGCACGCUCAAACCAUCGUCUAGAUUCCGGAUUCUUGAUUUAUUUAUUUUCAGUAUCAGUUUUGCGCAAGUUUCUCCGGGAACAAUACGGCUCUUCUUGUCCCGCCUAUGCCCUUUCUGAUUGUAGAUGCUACUGAUGUGUCGGUGAGGGUGCUUGCAAGUUUUAGAAUUUCAAUCAGUUAAAUGGAGAAUUUUUCUCAUUCUUGUGCAUGUGCGACAGCCGACCCAAAGAAGACAGGACACCUUCUGGCACUGGAGGGGGCAAAGGAGAGGCUGCAUUUAUUCAAAGCAGAAUUGCUGGAAGAAGGGUCCUUUGACUCGGUAGUCGAUGGAUGCGAAUGUGUUUUUCACACUGCAUCGCCUGUUUUGUUCUCAGCUGCUGACCCCCAGGUGCUUGAAUCUUGCCACGUUAAUCAUCCAACGUUGUCCUUGUUUUCCUAAAUAAGUAGAUAGCUCAUGGACAAACCAUUCCAUUCCAUGUGGAAGGGGAUUUGCUUUUCUUCUGCCACAAUGAGUUCAGUUUCGGUUUUCUGAUACUUUAUGAGAAUUUUACCGAAUGAUUUCUUCUAUUGCAUGACUCAGGCUGAAUUGAUUGAUCCUGCCCUAAAAGGCACCCUUAAUGUUCUAAGAUCAUGCGCCAAAGCCUCUUCUAUCAAGAGAGUAGUUGUGACGUCCUCUAUGACUGCAGUUUUAUUCAGUGCAAAACCUCUGACUUCGGGCAUUGUCAUUGAUGAGACUUGGCAUUCAGAUCCAGAAUUUUGCGAGAAAUCCAAGGUUUGUAUAUCAAAAUUUCCUGACAAUAUUGCUGUUCAUUUCUUUCACUUGUGAAAUUUUAGUGUUGAAUUACAUUCAGAGUUCCUGUUACAUGGUGAAACUGGUAAAAUGCUGAUUCUGAGAGGAGUUGGGACAUCAGGGAACAUUUCUCUCUUAAAUCACAUAGCUUUCACUAGACACUUUUUACGGAUACCCAAACCAAGGAGUGCCUGUCUCAUCACUUACAGUUGUUUGUGUUACUCUUGCAAUUUGGCCUGGCGCCAUGUUAGAUGCUACAUAUGCUUAUUGAAUACAACAGUUUCUCUAUACUUUACUUGCUGGAGGAGAACUACUUAUCUUUCGUUUCUUUUAGCCGGUAAUCUCCGAAUGCCUUGGAUGACAUCGAAUGAAGUCAAUGUCAUGGCAAUGGUUAUUAUAUGUGUUGAAUGAGGCGAAACAUUCUAACAGUCUCUUUGGCUUAUCUAUCUUCAGCUCUGGUAUAUGCUUUCAAAAACCUUAGCAGAGAAGGCAGCUUGGGAAUUCGCCAAAGAGAAAGGAAUUGACCUUGUCACGAUAAACCCAGGAUAUGUGAUCGGCCCUAUCUUGCAGCCCACUGUUAAUCUCACUGUGCAGACAAUACUGAACUUCAUUAAUGGUAUCACUAUCAUCUAGCCAUAAAUUAUGUUUGUUAUUGAAUCUUUGCCAUUUUAUUUCAGAGCGUCUUCAUCAAACAUUUGUGCAUGCUUUUUCUCAUUACCCAAAAGACAAUCUCAAGGAGUAACUAUAGAACUAUGUUUCUGAUUAAAGACGAUCUCAAUGAAGUCAUAUGCCCUUAACCAUACUUAUGAGUUAUGGGCGCAUGUGUCUCAGAAUGUAUUUCUGCAUUGGUCCAUGGAAUAGCUAUCCUUCUUUGCUAGAUAACUGAAUUUGGCAACAUGAGGUCCCGAGGCCCUUUCAUUCUAUCUACUGAAUCUGUCUUAUGUAUUUAAGGGUUUGCUUAAUUGGCUGCACAGACACUAUUAUAAUCAUUUCUGGUAGAUUUCCAUGUGCGACAUGGUUUUCAACUACUGGCAGUGGCAGCAUUUGGUACAAAGUUGUCUUGACGUUUGCAUGGGAGUAAUUGAGGCUUAUCCUGCAGGAGCUCAAACAUUUCCAAAUACAUGCUAUAGAUUUGUUGAUGUUAGAGACGUCACACUCGCACAUAUCCUAGCUUUUGAAAAUCAUUCAGCUCAUGGAAGAUAUUGCGUAGUAGGCGAAGUUAUACACUGCCAUGACGCUUUGCAGAUUCUCCGAAAUCUCUACCCCACUUUGCACCUCCCCGAGAAGUAAGUUAUCAUUUUUCCUUAAUUCUUAUCUUCUGUCAGACUACUGUGCAUCCAAGAGAUUACGGUUGUUUUCAUGAUGGUGUAGAUGCGAAGAUGAGAAGCCUUUCUCGUCAAAGUAUGAGAUAUCAAGAAAGAAGGCAGAAGCUCUGGGUGUCAACUUCACUCCAUUGGAGGUGAGUCUGAGAGAUACCGUCGAAUGCCUCAAGGAAAAGGGAUUCAUCUCUAUCUAGGCACUUGCUUAGAACAGCAUAUCACAAGCUUGCUAGUAAUGACUUGUGGACCUGUGGUCUGUCCUCAGCCUUUCAGCUCCUAAAUCAUACAACUGUUCUGAAUAAUGUAUCAUUACCCACUUUUAGAGAUUACACUGCCAGUUUUUCCCAGCUAAUCUUAAGUUAUUGAUGUUUAGUUUCUCUGUCCAAUUUGCCUGCCGAAACGACUCAUCAUAUAGAACAUCAGAAAUAAUCUCGAAGACUUUGUAAGCAAUGUCGAAAACUUGUGAGAUAAAUUGAGUUAAUGACUCAAGCUAGCGGUUAAGCCAAGAAGGCUCCUUUCAGGCCAACAUACUUGACUGCCAUUAUGUAUAACGCCAAUAGAAAAAUGAAGGACUUACUAUAAUUGGAUAUGAAUAUCAAAGACUGAUUCUGCCAAUGACUUAUAUGACCAAAAAUUGGUGACUCAUGGUACUCUCAAUCAACAGAGCAUUGAACAGUGUUUCUGAGCUUAACAAAACCUUGAUAAUAAUAGCUGGAUCAUAAGUAGACAAUGCAUACUGGCUGCGAUUGCCAUCCCGAUGCAAGAGAGCUUUACACGACCAAAUUGCAUCUGAACUUGCAGCACCUAAUAGUUGAGCGUGCACUUUCUGUCUGCAGACGUAAUAUGUGGUUAUCAAACAAUCAAUCUUCACUUCUGAUGAAAGCAUCUGAACUGCCAUCUCAUUUCAUCUGCAUAUGCAAUGGUCUGACAGGCCUUUGUAUAACUCCCACUGCAUUAUCCCAUCCAUAGCUUCAACACCUUAUCUUCACCACCAGAAGCAACAUUCUCACCAUCUGGAUUCCAAUCGACCGCAAAAACCUUCUCACGAGAACACGUGCUAAAAUAAGUAAGUGGUAGUCCAUGAUAGACAUACAAACUUUAAACUUGUCUGAUGACAAUGUUAGGGGAACAAACCUCAUCCGUAUGACCCGGAAGAUCUUGUUUCAACUUCUUCAUGCGAAUAUCCCAGAUCUAAAAGUAAGCCAAAUAUUGAGCAAACAUUUAAGCAUUCAAAUCAGGCAAAAAUUCAUAAUAAUCAUAACCGGUAAAAAGGGCAGACUCCACAUGCUAUUGACAUUUACAAAUAGUUCAAACAGAAUUAAACAACAAGCAAGAGUACAUCACUCAAGCUUCCAUUCGUACUCUGCUUUACAAUAUCCUCAUCACCAUAUCUCGCAAAAUAAGCAGACCUAACAUGGUCUAACGGUUCAAAAAAUAACUUUAAAUAGACCAUUGAGAUCUCAAUGAAAACAAGUUGCACUAGAACUCAGCAACAACCGGGGGCAAAAAUCCUUAUUGCUUGCACCAUAAAUAAACUAAUUUCCUGUAACACUGAUAUUAUUUUCACAGAUAAUAUUACAAGCUCUCCUGUUACAAUUCUAAGUGACCACACUUGAUCUCUCUUAAAGCUGGCCCAUGACACACGUAAGUACUUUACGGAAAUCAUUCAAAUGCUAUAUGCUUUGUGCAACUGACCUUCAGGGUAGUCUUUGCUCCCACUUAAAAUAAGUCUACUAUCCGCAGACCAACUGUGCAUUAUGUAAAUCAUGAUUAGAAAUCAUUCUUGAAUGGAUAAGACGAGCAAAUUUUGAAAAUAUCUCAAACCUUAUCUGAUAUACAGGCCCGACAUGUCCACUGAAUGCAGCAACAAACUUCCCAAUGAUACCAUUACACAACUUCAAAGAUCUAUCAAACGAAGCACUAGCCACCCAUUGCCCAUCCGGUGAAAGGUAGACACGAUCCACAAGCUGCAAACAAAAAGCAUAAUUUCCCGCAUUUACACCUAAGACAGUUCAACAAGGAUCUAAAGUACUAGCCUCAAGAAAAUAUUAGGAGGAUGUCUCAUCCAUUGAACCAGUGCCACCAGGACCACAAUGUGGAGGACGUCCUUAUUUAGCAUCAUUAUGGCAAUUGAUAGUAUAUAAUGGAACACAAACAGUCUUCUAAAUACAGUAAAGACUUAGGGAAUCAAUCACACAGCAAAAGCAGGCAGCUGUCAAAUCAAUCUCCCUCCCUCCCUCCCUCCCUCCCUCCCUCCUCCCUCCUCCGUCACACACACGCACACACAUACCUGUUGAUGAUCGGUCAAGAACGGACAAUCAUGUUUUUGGAUGCUUACUGACAUAAGGUUCCCCACAAAACAGAGUAAUGNNNNNNNNNNNNNNNNNNNNNNNNNNNNNNNNNNNNNNNNNNNNNNNNNNNNNNNNNNNNNNNNNNNNNNNNNNNNNNNNNNNNNNNNNNNNNNNNNNNNUUUCAUUUUCUUGUAACUUUCUAAUGCAACUAUGUUCAUCAACAAAAUACAGAAGUUCAUAUAACACUUACCAGAAAGUAGAACUACAAAUGUGCAUAGACCCAAAGGCAGAGAAUCACCACAGAGCCAGAAGACGUGCUGACUAAUGCAUACUAGGUUGUAAGAAAAUAAUGUCCAGAGAGAAAUAACCAAUGCAUACUAAGUUGCAUGAGCAAAUCAAUAUGCAGAGAGAAAUAAAUGUUUGAUUUAUUGCCUCAUGAUAUAAAGAUGAUUCCACAUAAUAACAGUUACCUACUUGCUUCAUUUCUUCAGAAGAUGAAUACUGUUUUCCAGUGUGAUCAAAAGCUACAGUUCGAAGAACAUACUCAGUGCUCAGAGCAGGAGUUAACCCAGUGUCCAUGAUCCUACAACAAAAAUUUUACAGAAAUAAGGAUGAUCGUGAAAAAAAGAAGAGAGGGAUCUAGCAGCAACUUAGAUUAAGAAUGCGGACUUGGCAGUAGAAACUAAGAAAAGACAUAAUCACGCGAGCCAUGAAAACUAAACUCUAACCUUAAUAUGCAAUUCAUAUCUCAGACAUCAAAAAAUGGUGGUAUUUCAUUCCUACCGUCAAUAUCUCCCAAGAACUAUACAAUGAAAACAAUCAAGGACAUGAUAUCGCCAGUAGCUGGGCUAAAUAAUAUGCCCAAUUAGUAUGGGGUAGGUCACUAGUUGUCAAACUGCCUCCUGGCACUAAAGAGAUUGAGUGAAUGCAGCUACUCCAAAGGCGCAAAUAAAUAUAAGGCUCUUGUGGCGAAGAAGAAGACAGGCAUGCAAUGACCCUGCAAUCUGUAUAACAAACUUUAAAAAAGAUGUUACCUUCAAUUCCCUUAUCACCUUCCCCUGGGAGUUUCUCAGACAUUAAUUGUACAGUCCUGGGAGCUGCAAGAAAUUUAAAAUAAUUACUUCACCAGGCAACAAGUAGUAGAAGCAGCAGAAGUUUGGCAAAGGAUACUCAGUAGCUUGAAAGCAGAAUUUACAAGUCCUCGCUUAAUCUUAGGCCCAUUAGAAGUAUGAAUAAGUCAAGAAAACUUCAUGUUAUUCUUUUGUUUUCAUGUAGCAUGGCACUAGCAUAUGGACAUUAAUACAUCACAAAGUGAUUAAAUAUUUAUCUCAGUGUUGAAUUGCCUCUCCUGUUCCAACUUGUCAGUGGGACAGCUAUUAAGGAUUGGGAGAGAGAAUUCAUGCCAAAAAUUUGAAACCAUUAAGUGAAAGGCAAUUUCACCAACAAUUGCCAAAAUUAAGGAAGUUGCAUACCCAGUAUACAUUACAACGUCUCCUCCCCAAUUUAUGCAUGUAAUAACUAGAGUAUGACCGCUCAGACAUAUUACACAACUUUGUAGUGUUACAUCCCGUAUGCAUGCAUCACCGUCUUCACAUGAACUCACAAAGCGACGGCAUGGGGAACUCAGAUGUACUGGUUCCCAAGAUAAACCUGUGAUCCAUUUCUUGUGGCCCUGACAUAAAGCAGAUUCAAUUGUCUUAGUGGCACAGAGACUAUUCUUGCUAUGCAUCAGCCACAAAAUCAAGUUAGACACUUCAACACCUCACAAGUUAUCGUCAAAAAAUGGUAAAGGGUGUCAGAAAGCUUUCCUCAACAAAAAGGGUACACCAUGAUCUCAUCCUAUAAAGGCAAAGCUACACAAUAAACUGUACUCACUACACUAAACUUAUGGAUAUCAUCCAAAUUAACGCCAACACUGCUCCCGCUUAUUUUGCCACAAGUAUCAAAUUAGAAGCAACAAAUUGGCAAUUUUAUCCACCAUUUCCUCUUCAAUAUGGAGUUAUAAACCAAGAAAUAUUAAUAGGAAAUGGAGUUCCAUGGAAUCCUUUAAGGAAGGAUUCGUGUAACACCAAAGGUCCAAAACUAUUUGGUCCAAACAACUUUCCAUAAAAUAAAUUUAGGUCAAAGUUAAAUGAAGUUGGUAAAAGCAGCAAAAUACAAUCAACUGAAUAAGAUACUUUCUAGUCUUAUAAUGCAAUAAGGAUCAUACGACAAGUGGAUUGCCUGAUGGUUGCGCAGUCAACGGAUCCCAACAUUGGAGUUCUCCAGCCUUGCUUCCACUUACAAGAUGCUUACCAUCAGGUUACCAUGUAAUACAGAGGACCCAAUUCUUGUGCCCUGAGUAAAAGAAAGUUUCAUUAAUCAAACAGACAAAAAGGAAACCAAGUAAUUUAUACUGCCAACAAACCGCUUACUAACAUUUUUUCCACCCACAAUCCACUACAUGGUCUUUGUAGGAUUGAUAUCACAUGGAUGCAAUAACAUUUACAAGCUCAUUAUCCUGUGAGAAAAAUAUCACGUGAGGUCAUUACUACUACGUGUCAAUUGGUAACAAGUGACAAGCUGCCAUAUCAAAUCUAAAACAAGAAAAGGAAAUUGACAACUUCAUCAAUCAACGUUCAACUCUAAAUUCACAAAUUAUUUUGAAGUGCAUCAAUAGACCCACACUAAUACUUUUCGAAAACCCAGCUAGUUUAAUUGCGGAAAUUUACUUCUCAGUUUGAAAACAAAACAAGUAAUGCCUAAUUCAAACAAUUUUUGUUUGAUGAUCACCGGUGCAUUUGUAUACUAUAGCAAAAUCCCCUAGAAUGAAAUCUAUGGGAAUUUGCACAACGAAAAAAAGAUAACAAAGCCUAGUCUUGAUUUUGCAUUUCACAUCCAACUGCUGGAUCCUGAGUGAAACCUUACCAACAAGCUGAUCUCCGCAAAUCAAAGAUAUACAAUGGCAUCCACCAUUCACAUUUUUGGAUACCUACCAAAUUUCUCCUGAAUUGCAACCAUUAAUACGGGAACUUGAACACAGGAGCACAGUUACCCAUCUUCUCCUGUAUUUCAACUACAUCCUGUAGAAAGCAUCCAAUUGUUGGUUUAAUGCAAACAAAUUUCUUCAAACUUUCAGUAAAAUAAAAGAAACAUGGUUAUCUCGCAGCCACAGGUACUUUCAGAUUCACCCAACCAUCAAAAAACCUUGUGACAAUUUACACAUUGUCCUAAAGUCUUCACAGAAAAAGAAAACCACGCUUUGCUUUGCUUUAAAGCUAAACUAGUAAUGGAAGUUAAAGAAAUGAAAUGGCUGUUAUCUAAACACUAGUUCCAUGAAACUACUGCAAAAGUAAUGAAGAAAGAAAGCAAAUUCAAGCUUCAGUUACUUGAAUAUAUUGCAAUUGUCCCCAGGCACAAAAUCCAAACUAUCCGCACUUGAACAUGGAAUGAGACAUGGGCUGCUAAAGGUAACGAAAGUACUUAAGACUAAACCAACUACCAAGAUACAAGACAAAUUUGCCAUCUCAUUUUAGGCACCAAUAGAGAGACUUGAACGAUCAAGCCAAAACUAUUUAGCGCCAAAGAGAAGAAAAAAAAAAGCCAGAAAAUUCAGCGCAAUCAUAGAAGCGCCUAACGAAAUGCAAAAACAGCGAGGGGAAAGGGAAGGCCGACUGCAAGAGGGAAGGCCGCGGGCGAGGCGAGGCGAGGCGACCGACGGACCGAGAGCGAGAUUAGGGAGAGAGUUUUUUGAGAGGGCUAGGGUUUUGUCCAUCAUUAUGCGUGAGGAAAGGGGAGAUUGCGAAAACGCGACACGCGAGCUCAACUAGAGGAAGCAGAGGUAGCAAGCAAGAAGAGAGAAACGCUGCGGGAAUUAGCGAGCGACCGAGAGGAAGAAGCGAACCUGCAGCAGAGCCUCGAGACGGGAGCGAAGAACCAUAGAAAACGCCGUUCUGAACGAAGAAGAAGACGGAGAAGAGGAGGAGGAGGAGGAGGAGAGAGAGAGUCAGCAGAAGCCGUCAGGGAGCAGCAGAAUUAAAGAAGCGGGAGACGUACAGUCCGGUAAGCCUGCGUGCUGGUACAUGAUGGAGUAACAAAACGCGGGUUCUCAAUAUUUGAAUUAGUAGGUUCGUUCAUCAAAAUUUUGUUACGCCCGUGUUUAGUUAGGAAAGGGUGACAUUUAAUCAGGAUGGUAAGUCAAGAUUCCAUCUCAGUAUCACCAAAAUUUCAAUUUCUAGCAAAACGAAUGAUGCGAAUGAUGAUAAAAGGGAAAUUACCCACUUUACCACUUGUAUUUUCAUAUUGCAUUUUUGCAUCCUCGAUUUUAAAUUCACUACUAAAUUUUGUCAAACCAAAUUGUAUUAUUAAGACCUCUGUAUUAUCAUGAGAAUUUGAUAAUUUAUGUCUCUCGAAAUAGUGGUUCUGGAAUGCAAAAUAAGGUGGGUUGUCAAGUUAACGUCAGUUAUAUUUGUGACAAGCGCAUCUACUCUUUCAUUGCAUUGAUUCAUAGUCUUUUUAAUUUGAGCUUUAAUGUGUGUUCUCAAAAACUUUAGCCGGAAAUUGCUAAAGAGCAUAAAAUUGGCCUGUUGUGAUAAACUCUACACACCUGAUUGAUCCUUUAUUAAAGUUGGAAAGCUUCAUUCAACAUGUGACAGUGACAUUACAAUCUUAGGUAGGCACUACCACACAUCUAAGGCUGCUCCUCUAUUAUAGCCUCAGCGUGAUUAAUUUCUUUCAUGGAUUUGUCCUUUCACAUGUAGAUAACUAAGAUAGGUACUUCUCCAGGAUGUUGGACAUCUAUCAAUGCCAAACCAACGCCAACAGAUCCCAAACCGGUUGAUGCGCCUCCGUCACUGCUCCGCCGCCCCUCCGCGUCGAUCGGUUCCAUGGAUCUACCCGGGAACUGGACCGGACCGGCGGUCCGGUUCUCGGGUGGAUCCAUGCAACAAACGGAUGGAUCCCGGUUCCAAUUUUUCGGAACCGGUCCUUAACGGGCGGUUCCCGGUUCUAGGUCAGGAACCGCCUGCCCGAACCAUGCACACCCCUAGUGCCAAGAACGGAGGAGAUGAGCGGAGCAGAGAAGGUGGUGGGCGCGAUCGGAGGGUCGGAUCUCUAUAAAAAAUAGUCACUUCUAGCAUGAUAUUGAAUUAUUGUAAUGCCAAGCAAUUGUAUCUUCCUUGCCCUAAGGAUUUGUUGUUCACCAAUUGGAUUCUCAACCUUUAUACAUACGAAUAUGCUCUCAUAUACCUUUACCAAAAAAAAAAAAAAAUAGGCUCUCAUGUAUUUUUCUGACUUAGGCGCGUUAGUGAGAAGCUUCUCAUUACUUACUCUUAAAGUGGUGAUUCUAGAAUGCUAAAUGAGGCAGCGUUGUCAAGUUAAUGUCACUUAUAUUUGCGACAUACGCAUGUGUUCUUUCAUUGCAUUAACUUAUAAUAUUUCUAUUUUGAGUUUUGGCAUGUCCUUUCAAAAGCCUUAGCAGAGGACCCCGCUGGAAAUUGCUAAAGGGCACAAAAUUGGCCUGUCGUGAUAUAGACCCGACAAGCAUGGUUGGUCCUCUAUUAGAGCCUGAAAACUUCAUUCAACAUGCGAGUGACAUUAUACAUAGGCACUAGCCCCACCUCUAAGGUUGGUGAUUUACUACUCGGUUCUUUAAAGAUUCGGCCGAGCAUCGGGCUCUUUAUAAGUCCAUCUGCUCCGCCACCGAGUCCAGUACUCGUUCACUCUCUCCCCCGAGCCACAGGAGACGAGACCAGCGUGUGUGAACUCCACGGUUCAGGUGCCGAGAACGGAGAAGAUGAGCGGAGCAGGGAAGGUGGUGGGUGUGACCGGAGGGUCGGGUUACAUAGCUUCUUGGCUGGUCAAGCUCUUGCUCCACCGUGGCUACACUGUUCGAGCCACAAUCCGAGACCCAAGUAAGAAAAAAGUUCCCUCUCCCUCCCUCUCUCUAUCUCUCUCUCUCUCUCUCUCUCUCUCUCUCUCUCUCUUAUGCUCUUUUACGCUUCUUGGGCAUUGUCAAGCUGUUGGAAGAAGAAAAAACAAAGAACCGUUGAAAUCUGAUAAUCCACAUGAAGUUAUGUGGAAACCCUUUAUUAGAGUGAAACCAUCGAGCUAUUUUUUGUGAGAGAGAAGAAUUUUGCUAGCUUCAUUAGUUUUGUCUAUAUAUCUAUCUGAUAAAGUUCCGAUCUUUUGCAUCCUGUUCGACUUUGUUAAAGAAGUAGCACGCUCAAACCAUCGCUCAAUUCCGGAUUCUUGAUUUAUUUAUUCUCGCAUCAGUUUUGCACAAGUUCGUCCAUAAACAAUACGACUCUUCUCGUUCCGCCUAUGCCCUUUCUGACUAUAGAUGCUACUAGUGUGUCGGUGAGGGUCCCUGCAACUUUUUAAAUUUCAGUCAGUUGAGAUUUCUCAUUCUUGUGCAUGUGCAACAGCCGACCCAAAGAAGACAGGACACCUCCUGGCACUGGAGGGGGCUAAGGAGAGGCUGCAUUUAUUCAAAGCGGAAUUGCAGCAAGAAGGGUCCUUUGACUCCGUAGUCGACGGAUGCGAAUGUGUUUUUCACAUUGCAUUCCCCUAUCUGCCCUCAGCUGCUGACCCCCAGGUGCUUGAAUCUUGCCAUGUCAAUCAUCUUUCAUGAUUUGUUACGUGCUUAAAUUCCAACGUUGUCCUUGUUUUCCUAAAUGAGUAGAUAGGUCCAUGUGGAUGGGGAUUUGCGUUUCUUCUGCCAUAACGAGUUCAGUUUUGGUUUUCUGAUACUUUUAAUGAGAAUUUUACCUAAUGAUUUCUUCUAUUACAUGACUCAGGCUGAAAUAAUUGAUCCUGCCGUAAAGGGCACCCUCAAUGUUCUAAGAUCAUGCGCCAAAGCCUCUUCUAUCAAGAGAGUGGUUGUGACGUCCUCUAUGGCCACAGUUGCAUUUAGUGCAAAACCUGUGACUUCGGGCAUUGUCAUUGAUGAGACUUGGGAUUCAGAUCCAGAAUUUUGCCAGAAAUCCAAGGUUUGUGUAUCAAUAUUUCCUAACAAUAUUGCUGUUCAUUUCUUGAAAUUUAACUAUCGAAUAACAUUCAGAGUUAUUGUUAUAAAGUAAAACUGGUAAAAUGUUGAUUCCGAGAGAAGUCGGAACAUCAGGGAACAUUCUCUCUUAAAUCACAUAGCUUUCACUAGACACAUUUUACAGAUGCUCGAACCGAGGAGUGCCUAUCUUAUCACUUACGGUUGUUUGUGUUACUCUUGCAAUUUAGUCUAGCACCAUGUUAGAUGCUACAUAUGCUUAUUGAAAACAACAUUUUCUAUAUACUUCGAUUCAUGGGGAACUACUUGUCUGUCAUUUCUUUUAAUUGGUAAUCUCCCAAUGCCCCUUGGAUGACAUCGAAUGAAGUCCAUGUCAUGGCAAUGGUUAUUAUAUGUGUUGAAUGAGGCAAAACAUUCUAACAGUCUCUUUGUUUUAUCUAUCUUCAGCUCUGGUAUAUCCUUUCAAAAACCUUCGCAGAGAAGGCAGCUUGGGAAUUUGCCAAAGAGAAUGGAAUUGACCUUGUGAUCAUAAACCCAGGACAUGUGUUCGGUCCCUUCUUGCAGCCCACUGUUAAUUUCUCCGUGGGGUUAAUACUGAACCUCAUCAAUGGUAUCACUAUCAUCUAGCCAUAAAUUAUGUUUGUUAUUAAAUCUUUGCCAUUUUAUUUCAGAGCAGCUUCGUCAAACAUUUGUGCAUACUUGUUCUCAUUACCCAAAAGACAAUCUCAAGGAGUAACCGUAGAACUAUCUAUCUGAUUGUAUGCCCUUAAUCAUACUUACGAGUUAUGGCCACGUGUCUCAGAAUGUCAUUCUGCAUUGCUCCAUGGAAUGGCUAUCCUUCUUUGCUAGUUAACUGAAUUUGGCAACAUGAGGUCCUCAGGCCCUUAAAUUCUAUUUAUUGGAUCUGGCUUCUUUAUUGAAGGGUCUGCUUGAUUGGCUGCACAGACACUAUUAUAAUCAUCUGUUAGAUUUCCACAUGCGACAUAGUUUUCAACUACCGGCAGAAGCAUCUAGUAUAAAGUAAAAGUUGUAUUGACGUUGGCAUGGGAGUAAUUGAGGCUUAUCCUGCAGGAGCUCAAACAUUUCCAAAUACAUGCUAUAUAUUUGUCGAUGUCAGAGACGUCGCACACGCACACAUUCUAGCUUUUGAAAAUCAUUCAGCUCACGGAAGAUAUUGCCUAGUAGCCAAAACUGUGCACUGCCAUGAUGUUUUGCAGAUUCUGCGCAAUCUCUACCCCACUUUGCACCUCCCUAAGAAGUAAGUUAUCAUUCUGCCUUAAUUCUUAACUCAUCUUCUGUCAGACUACUGUGCGUCCAAGAGAUUUACGGUUGUUUUCCUAAUGGUGCAGAUGCGAAGAUGAGAAGCCUUUCUCUUCGAAGGAUGAGAUAUCAACAAAGAAGGCAGAAGCUCUGGGUGUCGACUUCACUCCAUUGGAGGUGAGUCUGAGAGAUACCGUCGAAUGCCUCAAGGAGAAGGGAUUCAUCUCUGUCUAGGCAGUUGCUUAGAACAGCAUAUCACAAGCUUGCUAAUAAUGACUUGUGGACCUGUGGUCUGUCCUCAGCCUUUUAGCUCCUAAAUCGUACGAUUGUUCUGAAUAAUGUAUCAUUACCCACUUUCAGAGAUUACUCUGCCAGUUUUUCCCAGCUAAUCUUAAAUUUAUUAAUGGUUGGUUUCUCUUCGCAGUUUGCCUGCCAAAAUGACUCAUCAUAUAGAACAUCAGAAAUAAUCUUGAAGACUUUGUAAGCAAUGUUGAAAACUUGUGUGAUAAAUUGAGUUAAUGACUCAAGCUAGGGGUUAAUCCAAGAAGGCUCCUCUCUGGCCAACAUACUUGAGUUAAUGACUCAAGCUAGGGGUUAAUCCAAGAAGGCUACUCUCUGGCCAACACACUUGACGGCCAUUAUGUAUAAAGCCAAUAGAAAAAUGAGGGGCUCACUAUAACUGGAUAUGAAUAUCAAAGACUGAUUCUGCCAAUUACUUAUAUGAACAAAUUAUCGGUGACUCAUGAUACUCUCAAUUAAUACAGCAUUGAACAGUGUUUCUUAGGUUAACAAAACCUUUGAGAAUAUCAUCUGUAUCAUAAGUAGACAAUGCGUACUGGCUGCGACUGCCAUCCUGAUGCAAGAGAGCUUUACACAACCAAAUUGAAUCCUAACUUCCAGUACCUGAUAGUUGAGUGUGCACUUUGUGGCUGAUUGCAUCCGAACUUGCAGUACCUGAUAGUUGAGUGUGCACUUUGUGUCUUCAGACGUAAUAUGGGCUAUCAAACAAUCAAUUCUUCACUUCGGAUGAAAGCAUUUGAACUGCCAUCUCAUUUCAUUUGCAUAUGUAACAGUGUUGACACUUAAUUUUGAAAAAAUAAAAUUGCAUUUCGAACAAAUAAAAGGAAGAAAAAAUAAAAAUGGGGAAAAUUGAUUUGAUUGAUUAUGCAUGGAAGUUUGAAAUUCUGAUGAGUAUUCAGAUUUUGAUAAAUGUAGAAACAAUUGAAAAAUCUGGCGAACAAAGGGCAAGGAUUUUAAUAAAAUGAAAGCCAAACCCAAAAUCGGUGAGGAUAAUGAUCAGAUUGAUAAAUCAAAAGGAAAGUAUCAAAAAUUAUACCCAUCAGAUGAACUGUUUGCAAAAAUUAAAACGGACGUGGAUGCGUUUUUUGGUAAAUGAGUGAAAAAUCGAAAUGUAAAUUUGCGAUGGCAAAUCGGGGCUAAAAUUCUGUAAUUCCAGCCAUCAAGGAAGCGCAACUUUCUAAAGAUCAAUAGAGGUUUUCACUAUAAAAGGGCUACAGAUUCGGAAAAAUCAAGGGGGAAUUCGAAAAAAAAUUCGAGAGAAAAAUUCGUGCGAGGAAAAAUCCUUCGUCCGUCUUGGUCAAAGGAGAAGCCAUUUCUCUUUUCUUUCUCUGACAAGAAAAGGGAAAGUCAGGAAGAGGUACAGAGAGGACGUGAGGGAGACGUGAGAAGAGAGAGAAAGAAAUAAAAAAAGAGAGAGAAGAACACUGUUCUUCUUUGUGCGGGUGUUCUUCCCACCGCCGGCCUCCUUCCGUGACUACCUGCGCAGCUCGCCAUCACCCGCGAGCACCAGCAGCAGCCUGCUCGUCGCUGCUGAUCGCCCAGCACCGCUCGCCCGACGACCGCGCUGCUGUCCCCUGCCGCCGCUGCACCAACGCUCGACGUCUGCAAUUCACCCGACGCCGCAGCAGCCCGCUGCUGCCGCGCCUCCACAGCCGCGAGCACCGUCGCCCGCGCUCCCGACCUCGUCGUGCCACCGCGCCGCUCUCCUCAGCCCAGCAUCCGGUGCCUUCGCCGCCCAUCUCCGCUCACCGGACGUUGCGACCGCGAUCCCGACGACCGCGCUCCCGCCCUCGCCAACGCCGCGCCGUUGCAACACCUCUGCUCCACCCGCGACGCCGCCCGUCGAUCUCCGAGCUCCGUCGCGCCUCCGCACCGCCACCUCGCUGGUCCCCUCGUCGCCGCCCAGCUUCGCCGGAGCUCCGACCGCGACGCCCCUGCCGGACCUCCGUUUAGCCACCCUUGGCCGGGCCCCACGGCUGUCAAGCCCAUUUUUUAAAAAAAAAGAAGAAAAGAAAAGAAAUGAAAACACAUUAGGUAGUUUUCUUUAGUUUACUUUAUUUAUUUUAUUUUACUUUAUCUUGUGUUUUUUUAGUAUAAUUAGUCUUUAUUAUAUGAUUGGAAAUUUCAACAUAUCACCCAAUUCACAACCGCGCCAGGAUUUUUUAUUUCAUCUAUAAGGCCUUAGAUGAAAUAAUUAAUUAAGCAAGAAUAAAAUUGAUAUUUUGAUAUUUAAGGCUUAAGAUCAAUUUAUCAUUUUUAUCAGCGAAAUGUUAUCCCUUGAUAUGAGUUACGUGUGAUAUCCUUGUUUUGGCUUGUCAUGAUAGCUUUGUUCAUCUCGAAAUAUGUUUGGGUUAUAAUGUUGCAUAUUUUAGGGUUUACACAUUUAGAAUAGGAAUCUUAUUUCGAAUAUUCCUAUUCUAAAUUUUAAAAUCAAAAAUCAAAAAAUCAAAUCAAUCAAUUUAGGUUGCUAGAUUUUUAAUUUGGAUUGCAUGUUUAAUUAUUUGGCAAUUAUUAAUUUCGAAAAUCAAUUAUUAAUUUCGAAAAUUAAUUAAAAAAAACAAUAAAAAAUCAUCAUGCAUAUGUCAUGUAGAAUUAGUGCAUAUUUUGUACGUCAUUGCAUAUUAGGGUUAAAUUGCACUUAGUUUAAUUCUAGAUAAUAUCUUUCUUAGUUUAUUAUGAGUUUAGAUAUUUUGCAUCUUAGGAUUAUCUAGGUUAAGAUAAUAUUUUAGUUUAAAUUAGGAUUUGGCUUAAUCUAAUUCCUAAUGCAAAUUAAAUAGAAUCUUAAUCUAGUUAAAUAAAUUUUCACAUUUUUCCUAAUUCCGAAUUUUCAUGAAAAAAAAUACAAAAAAAUGUCUUAGAAUAAAUUAGUUCUAUUCCCUAGGAUAGAUUGCAUUUUUAGGAAAAAACAAAAAAUUUCAUUGCGUAUCAUUAAAAGUAGAUUCAUGAAAUGCAUGUCAUUUAGAUAUUGUUAUUAGGUCCAUUUAAUUAGAAAUUGCAUGACAUUAGAAUUAGGUCAUUUAGUUAAUACUGCAUUGCAUAUUGCAUGAUUUUAUUUAAGUGAAAACAAAAAGAAAUUGCGACAUUGCAUAUUGCAUGAUUUUAUUUAAGUGAAAACAAAAAGAAAUUGCGUGUUAAUUAGAAACCAUAUCCAGGUUGUUGAUGUGGUUUUUUAACUUAACAUUGCAGAUGUUUUCGUUGCUUUGAGAUAAGUUUUUACAGUUUAUUUAUUGUUUAUCUGGGUGUUAAAUUGGUGGAUUGCGCACCCGCAUGAUCACCUAACAUGUUAGGAAAAUAGAUUUAAAAUCAAUUUAAGCUGCCUGCAAAAACAUUUUUGCAAAAUAAAAGAAUGGUAUCGAAAGAGCAUUAGAGAAAUCUAGUGUAACCAAGUCCCCGUACCCAUAGUCUCUGGUUCGUAGGAGUAAAGUGAAACUCCCGUUACUUUACUUGGGUUUCUAAUCGACCCACCAAAAAAUAAAUUAGUGGCGACUCCUGUUUAAAAAAUAAAUUGCAUAUUAAGAACUUGAACUUAAGUCGCGAAUUGGUAUGGGCUUGAGAGAGCCUGAAUUAAAUCUAGACUUAAUAAUCCAUUAACCAAAUUUUAAGUGGUUCACACCUCGAAAAAUAGGUCGCGACAAACGGUCUAGGCACCUGCUUAAAAACAGCACGACACUAGCUGAUAAUUCGGGGUUCCUUGCUUUCUUUCCUCCGUCACAUCCUGCAUACUCAUAUGUGCAGAAUAACCUAUGCGCAUCCACUUUACGAAACAAGUUUUACCGGUUGAAGUUUCUUCACGUGAUUUGUAGUCCGAUAUGACUUCCAACUAGAAGUGUAGAAUAUCUGCAGAAAUCUCUAGAGACCUGCAUCUUCUUGGGGUAAUAUUGCGAAUGAACAAGUUGAGCUAGCAUUUUAUUGGACGCCCUCAUUCCGGUGUACUCCAUUAGAAGCUACGUGGAAGAAAAAGAUGACUACGUACAUACCAUUUAAAACCAGAUCAGAUACUCAGAAACCAAGGAUUUACAAAGGAAAUGAAGUAUUUCUUUUC